AGACUUAGACAGAGACCGUAACUCUUACGGCUCUGAUACCAAGAAAAGGGAUGAACCAAGAAAAGGGAUGAACAUAUCAGAGAUAGAAGAUAAACAAAAUACAGAAUGAUGCAGUAAAAUAAUGCUUAUAUGAAAUUACUCAAAAUAGAGAUAAUUGAAAAUAAUGUUAUAAAAUAACCUGGAAUAUAUGCGGAUAUUGAGCUGCACGUAAAAUAGAUGAGACACAGCUUUUAACGAGGUUCGGCUAUGCCUACGUCCUCGGAGAGUAGCAGCAGUAACCUUUCACUAUAAAAUGAUAUGGCUACAACUUUAGUGUUUACAACAUAUGUGGCUCACUGAAUUUUCUCUCUAGGAGAAUUUCUCUCUGCUUUCUCUUCUCUCUUUUCUUUUUCUUCUUUUCUUAUUUCUUCUUUCUCUGAUGGUGGUCUUAUUUAUAGGCUGAAAUAAUCACUAUUCACUAUUCACCCGUGACAGACAAACUCUACCAAAGUCUCCAAAUGAAUAGUAAUGAAUUCACCCGUGACAGACAAACUCUACCAAAGUCUCCAAAAUGAAUAGUAAUGAAUAGUUAGUGGGCUCCACACCAAGACUUUGUUGUAAAAGUGGAGUCUGGAGUCCCCAAAAUGCCCCCCCUAAUGUCUAUAAAUUGGGCUUUCCUUACUUGUAAAUGAAACACACAGAAAUCUGAAUGAGAGUUUCUUCUCUCUAUCUCAAUUCUCUCGAUUUCCCUCUACAUUUACAACACGUUAUCAGCACGAGUCUUUAACCGGCUGAGUUCUCUGAUGAAACCCAUUUAGAUAAACCAACAGCAGUAAGCAACAAAUUGAUCAGUAUUUCAGAAUCUCUGAUUUCUUGAUCUCAGAAAUUGAUCAAGACACCCAAAACCCCUUUAACCUGUGCAUCUUACUCAAGCCCCUCUCUUUCUCUUUCUCCAUAGCUCAACAGCAAGACCCACAUCACAAAUUCUCCAAUUCUUUGAACCCAUUGAAGAAAAACCAGAAGAAAUUAGCUGGUUUGUCGAAAUGGGUUCGGAUUCGUUGCCCAUGAAACCCACACCGAUCCCAACCCAAGAUGAAGAGCUUCCAAACCCAGCUACGGCUCUGCUCUCUUUUCCUUUCCCUUGAAGCCCGAGGCUCCACACUUGUCUCAGCCCAUCGCACAAGGCGAUUAAGGCUCCAAGUUCUCUGAAGUUACCGGUUACCUAUUUCCAAGUUCUAGCCGACGACCUCCAGAGCCUGAGCUUCACCUCCACCACAGCAACCAAGCGCAGCACAAGCUCCGCCUCCGAAUCCACGCUCACGGCUUCCGCCUCCUCCUCGGCGCGCAUAGCACCCGUCCCUCGUCUCCAAUGUCUAGCGUAACUGUUAGGAUAUGGAUUGCCAUAUUGUUCUUGAGCUGUGCUUGUUAUUGUUCUUAUGGGGCUGUGGUUGAGGACGAUGUGAAGUGUCUUCAGAGCCUUAAGCAAUCUCUGAAAGACCCACUUGGAAAGCUGGUCUCUUGGGAUUUCAGGAACACGUCUGUGGUUUCCAUGUGCAAGUUUGUGGGAGUUACCUGCUGGAACGAUCGAGAGAACCGCAUAUUAAACCUUGAGCUCAGAGACAUGGAGCUUUCUGGUGCUAUUGCGAAGGACAUAGAGUACUGUUCUAGCCUUCAGAAUCUGGAUCUUGGAGGCAACAAGCUUUCUGGGUCGAUCCCUCCUGAUAUUUGUACUUGGUUGCCGUUUUUGGUGACCUUGGACUUUUCCAACAAUGAUUUCUCAGGCUCAAUCCCAACUGAUCUGCAGACCGAGAGGUUUACUCUGCGGCCAAGGCGGUCGGGUUCGGUGACGUCGACUUGGUGGCGGCCGAGACCGGUUGGCCUUCGUCUUGCGAGUUCUCUGUCUGCUCGGUUCAGAACAGCCGUGGAAUUCCAAGAACCAGCUCUGGUUGGCUUUGGAAUCUGGUUUUGCUAAGUGGUCAGCCGGAUUUGCAAACCACUGUUUAGAAAGGCAUCAUUGUUAAGGCCUAAAGCGUCUUGAAGAAAGCUAUGGCACUAAGCAGGAAGUGUAAGUAAUUAUUGCACUAACCAUGUGCACAGCCUACACACCGAUAAAGAAAAGCAAACCCACCGACAGAAAGAAAAAAUUAAAUAUUUAAAAAAAAAAUAAAAAAAAUAAAAAAAAAAAGGGGUCUGAAGCAUCUUUUAAUAAAAACAGCAAAACCUACCGACCCACCGAAAGAAUAAGUGAUAAGAUCUCUGCUCCCUUAUAUUCUCUAUUAUUUCCUAUUAUAUUUAUCUGCUUUUCUUUUACUAACCAUUAACAAAAAUGGACCCUUGGUAAUACUAAACAUGUUAUCAGUGGGAGACCGUUACUAAUACUAACACUUUACUUUAUGAAAUUUACUUUACUGCAAAUUUACUUUACCGCACAUUUAUUUUAUUUACUGUAUGGUGUAGGUUUAUUACCCAUACAACAGUAUUUAUUUAAAAGGGUGGCGCGGGUUUAUCGUCCACGCCUUUACUUUUAUUUAAAUGUAUGGAGCAGAAUUAGUGCCCAUACAAGCACAUUUAAUUUACCGCACAUUUACAUUUAUUUAAAAGGGUGGUGCGGGUUUAUCGUCCACGCCUUUGCUUUUAUUUAAAUGUAUGGAGCAGAAUUAGUGCCCAUACAAGCACAUUUAAUUUACCGCACAUUUACAUUUAUUUAAAAGGGUGGUGCGGGUUUAUCGUCCACGCCUUUACUUUUAUUUAAAUGUAUGGUGCGGGUUUAUCGUCCAUACCAGUAAUUUAUUUACCAGCAAUUUAUUUUAUGGAUUAAUUGUGCUGUAUGAUGAGUUUUUACAGUAUGCAGAUCAGGACCAGAAGUUCCUUGAUCCUCAUCAUACAAUUACGUCAGGACUUGAAGAUCCUUCAUGAUGAUAUUAAUAUGAGAGCUGGCAGUCUCUCCGGUACUGUAUUUGUAAACAUGUGAUCGAAAUUAAGGGUCCUUGAUCCCUGACAUGUAAAUAAGGACCUAGAGUUCCUUAAUGAUGUAACAGUACCGUAUUGGUUCAUAGUGCCGUACACAUUGAUGAUAACUGUACUGGCAGAUGAAUAGAUACGUAUUCAUGACUUGAUGAAUAGUACUAUUCACAUGAAUAGUGACGUAUGCAUAAAUAUGAACCAUUUUGGGUAAACCGUCACUAUAUAUAAAAGGGAACCUGCAGUUUCAUGGUGCCGUACACAUUGAUGAUAACUGUACUGGCAGAUGAAUAGAUACGUAUUCAUGACUUGAUGAAUAGUACUAUUCACAUGAAUAGUAACGUAUGCAUAAAUAUGAACCAUUUUGGGUAAACCGUCACUAUAUACAAAAAGGGAACCUGCAGUUCCUUAAACUCAUGGAUGAGCAAUUAAAUGAGAUGCCAGAAGUUCCUCAAAAUAUGGACAAUUAUGUAAGGGCUUGAAGUCCCGAAAUAUGUACAGAAAAUUGUAAAAAUGUCCAUACCAUGAGAAUAUGUGGCUUUGGCCUGAAGUUCAAAAUUUAACAGUGUUGAGAACCUGAAGUUCCAACAAUUAAAUGGACAACCCUUGAGAUAUUAUUGCAAAUUGUGGUAUGCCACAUAUUUCUUUGGCAUAAGAAGAUGAUGAAUUUAAAGUUCGAUUUUGCUAUAAUCGACACCUCAAGGAAGAAAUAUAUUUUGUGAAUUCCGGUUGUUAAGAAUACACCGCGAAAUGGAUAAUAUCAAAAUAAACCUUAAAUAAUGAAUUGAGGCUCCCCACAUAUUUUGUUAUAUCUGGGCCGGAAGCCCAUGGAUCCAAAUAUAUGAGAGAUCCUGAACUUGAAGUUGUGGGUAUAUAGUAGUUAAUGCUCUUCACUACUAUAUUGUGAUAUUAUCAUGGCUUUUACUCAAUUCAUAUUUCAUGUCCAUUUGAAAAGGGCAAAUAAAUUCUGAGUUUGUGUUUAGCCCAAGACAAAAGUUCCGGGCUCCCAUACGUUGAAAUAUGAAAUUUGGGAGACUCGAUGUGGUUAUUUGAACCUAUAAGGCACAAGAUUCCAAACCGUCAUUUUGAAAAGACGUAAAAACCACAGGUGCAAAUUUUAAGAAUGUGUGCAAUUAUUAUAACAGGAAAGGAGCAAGUUGAAACGCAGUUGCUCCAAUCAAGUUUUGCAAAGGCAAUAUCUAUCGGAGGAAAUAUGGCUACAGUUUCCAGGAUCCCAAUAUUAUCUCAGAUCCCCAUAUUAUCUUUUUCUUUCCCAGAUUCCAAAACUUCACGUGGCCUCCAUUAAAUGUUUGUCGGCACUUUCUACGUUUUCAAAGUUUUAUUUUCAUCAAAAGCCGAUCUUGCUUUACGGAUUUCACGGAGCUACUUUUUCAAAAGUACCCCGAGAAUCUCGCAAUUUUCUUAUGGUUAAUUUGAAAUUCACCGGUUCUACCUAUUUGUGUAUAAAUGUGUUACUAACGAAAUUUUCUUUGCAGAAGACAUCCAGUUUUCUCCAUACCUAGUGAUGCGAUAUCUACUUGUUUUUCUUAUCACUGAGCACUUAAUAUGCCCGAGAAGCAAGACUAUCUCUGAUCAUCCAUUCAGGAAGCGAGACUAUCCCUGAUCACGUUUCCGCUGCAUUAGGGAACUGUGAAGGCGAUCUUAUGCUCUAAUCUCCGGAAGUCCUUCUAGACUAGGAGAUAUGAGAGCUUAUUGUCUGCUCCCAUCAGCUUCCUUCCCUGAUUGCUUACCUUCUCUGUUUACAUUUUUUCUCUUUCUGUAACUCUCUGAGGAUUAUUUGUUUUUGACAGAGAAAAGAGUUGUGAUUUUACUCUUGCAGGAUAUAACUAGAUCAUCAAGCGCUACAUUUACUGGGCCGAUACAAGCUUGAAUGAUACUUGAGAAAAGUUUCUCCCACCUAAGGACGUAAGCAAUACUUGUGUUAUUUUAUGCUUAUAUACUUAUUUGAUAUUUUAUCUUGAAAGAUAAGUCCGUUCCAAAAGAAUGGCUUGUAUGUAUCCAUGAAUUAUUAAUGCAAAUUUUACAGAUUGUAAGUUGGAUACAUUGAUAAUACACUGCACAGAUUAAAAUCCCAUAAGAACAGAAUAUGGGUAUAGCAGUGAUCAAUAUGAUGCACGCCUGUUGCGUAGCAAAUGAUGUGGAUUGAAGUCCCGAAAGGACAAUCCUUUGACAUGUCAAUAUUGAUAUUAUGCACGCCUAAUGCGUAGCAAAUUAUAUGGGUUCAUGUCCCAGAAAUUAAUUGACAUGUAUGUAUUAAUCUGUGGCAUGCCUGCAGCAUGACAGAUAUAUGGGUUCUAAAUAUUCCAACUCCCUAAAUGGAGAUUUUCCACGCCCUAUGUAAAAUAACGCUCCAUUGGAGGUUAUAAUCCACAUUCUCACAUAAUAAAAGCCCCAUGAAGUGGCUUGGGUACCCAAAAGCAAAGAAAUGCUUAUAAUUGAUGCAUGCGCAUGCACAUGAGAAUGAUGGGAUCAUGAAUUGAUGAAUGAUAAUUUUUGAUCAUGAAUUGAUGAAUGACAAUUUUUUGUUUUUGGAGUAGCUACUCAAAUCAUCAAUGGGCUGUGUUGAUUGGAACCACGUUCAAUUAUUAAAUGUCGACAAUAUCAUUGGCCAAAAUGGAACGAGGUAAUUCCAUUAUAAAUGAGAAUGAACGUGAAAGAACAAACCCACAAUACGAACCCCAAAAUUUGUUAAUACUGAAUUUAUACUUGGGUGUUCGGAAUAAAAGGGAAUAUACCUACUUUGUAUGACACACUGUUUCUAGCAGAAACAAAGAAUGUUGGGUUUUUCUCCAUAUUUACAGAUUCAAUUGUGCCCCCCUUAUUACACAAUUACGGAGACCAACAUAUUAUCUUUAAGGGUUAUUAAAUGCACAGAGCAUAUCGCCAGAAGCGAUUCCCUAAAAGAUGUAUAAAUAGCUGGGUUAAAGCUAUAUAAUGUGUCAUAAAGUUUAAUCCUUUUUUUUUUAGACAAAAUCCGUUGAGAGGAUUGACAUUGCAUAAAGCAAGUCCCUAAAGGACAUGUGCUUGAAGCACAAAAUUUGUACUCAAUAUUAAUAUGCAUAAAUUACCUCAGUGAGUACAUUGAUUAUAAUGUGAUUGCAACACAUUAAAGAUUCUGCAGAAUUCACGAAAUAUUUGUCUCGACUUAAGGAUCGAGCAUUGUGCCAACGAGAUUCUUGCUUAUACUAAGAAAGUAUUGAAGCAUUUUUAUGAGGAUUAUCCGUUGGUCCUUAAAUAUUUUUCCAGAAGUAUACUAGACCAGAUAGAGCUCAGCUCCACACUGUACUCUUUUUCCUUCAUCCAGGUUUUUAUCCCAUUGGGUUUUUCCUGGUAAGGUUUUAACGAGGCAGUGUCGCUCAAAGGUUUAGGGUAUACUAUGAAAGUUUUUAUGGUCGCUUACUGGACAAAAGCUAGUCCUAAAUUUUUCAGGGGGAGAUAUUCAUGAGGGGGAGAAAGGUUUUAAUAAAGACCUUUAUACACUGUACUCUUUUUCCUUCAUCCAGGUUUUUAUCCCACUGGGUUUUUCCUGGUAAGGUUUUAACGAGGCAGUGUCGCUCAAGAUUGACUCACAGAAGCAGUGUCAACUACGAUAUUCAGAAAGCUGAUCAACAGUAUGACUUAAAGAUAUUUUGCCAAGCAUCAGGAGGAGCGCACCAUCAAUAAAGAUCUUCAAACACCGUACUCUUUUUUUCCUUCGUCCGGGUUUUUAUCCCACUGGGUUUUUCCUGGCAAGGUUUUAACGAGGCAGUGUCGCACGCGCGUCAAUAUACUUAGAAUUUUAUGUUACACAUGAUUAUGUACUCUUUUUCCCUUUGUCCAGUUUUUUUGUCCCACUGGGUUUUUAUUGGCAAGGUUUUUAACGAGACAUAUUCUGUAUCAUUUGUGGUCUCCAAGGGGGAGUGUUGUAAAAGUGGAGUCUGGAGUCCCCAAAAUGCCCCCCCUAAUGUCUAUAAAUUGGGCUUUCCUUACUUGUAAAUGAAACACACAGAAAUCUGAAUGAGAGUUUCUUCUCUCUAUGUUGUAAAAGUCUUGGUGUGGAGCCUACUAACUNNNNNNNNNNNNNNNNNNNNNNNNNNNNNNNNNNNNNNNNNNNNNNNNNNNNNNNNNNNNNNNNNNNNNNNNNNNNNNNNNNNNNNNNNNNNNNNNNNNNNNNNNNNNNNNNNNNNNNNNNNNNNNNNNNNNNNNNNNNNNNNNNNNNNNNNNNNNNNNNNNNNNNNNNNNNNNNNNNNNNNNNNNNNNNNNNNNNNNNNNNNNNNNNNNNNNNNNNNNNNNNNNNNNNNNNNNNNNNNNNNNNNNNNNNNNNNNNNNNNNNNNNNNNNNNNNNNNNNNNNNNNNNNNNNNNNNNNNNNNNNNNNNNNNNNNNNNNNNNNNNNNNNNNNNNNNNNNNNNNNNNNNNNNNNNNNNNNNNNNNNNNNNNNNNNNNNNNNNNNNNNNNNNNNNNNNNNNNNNNNNNNNNNNNNNNNNNNNNNNNNNNNNNNNNNNNNNNNNNNNNNNNNNNNNNNNNNNNNNNNNNNNNNNNNNNNNNNNNNNNNNNNNNNNNNNNNNNNNNNNNNNNNNNNNNNNNNNNNNNNNNNNNNNNNNNNNNNNNNNNNNNNNNNNNNNNNNNNNNNNNNNNNNNNNNNNNNNNNNNNNNNNNNNNNNNNNNNNNNNNNNNNNNNNNNNNNNNNNNNNNNNNNNNNNNNNNNNNNNNNNNNNNNNNNNNNNNNNNNNNNNNNNNNNNNNNNNNNNNNNNNNNNNNNNNNNNNNNNNNNNNNNNNNNNNNNNNNNNNNNNNNNNNNNNNNNNNNNNNNNNNNNNNNNNNNNNNNNNNNNNNNNNNNNNNNNNNNNNNNNNNNNNNNNNNNNNNNNNNNNNNNNNNNNNNNNNNNNNNNNNNNNNNNNNNNNNNNNNNNNNNNNNNNNNNNNNNNNNNNNNNNNNNNNNNNNNNNNNNNNNNNNNNNNNNNNNNNNNNNNNNNNNNNNNNNNNNNNNNNNNNNNNNNNNNNNNNNNNNNNNNNNNNNNNNNNNNNNNNNNNNNNNNNNNNNNNNNNNNNNNNNNNNNNNNNNNNNNNNNNNNNNNNNNNNNNNNNNNNNNNNNNNNNNNNNNNNNNNNNNNNNNNNNNNNNNNNNNNNNNNNNNNNNNNNNNNNNNNNNNNNNNNNNNNNNNNNNNNNNNNNNNNNNNNNNNNNNNNNNNNNNNNNNNNNNNNNNNNNNNNNNNNNNNNNNNNNNNNNNNNNNNNNNNNNNNNNNNNNNNNNNNNNNNNNNNNNNNNNNNNNNNNNNNNNNNNNNNNNNNNNNNNNNNNNNNNNNNNNNNNNNNNNNNNNNNNNNNNNNNNNNNNNNNNNNNNNNNNNNNNNNNNNNNNNNNNNNNNNNNNNNNNNNNNNNNNNNNNNNNNNNNNNNNNNNNNNNNNNNNNNNNNNNNNNNNNNNNNNNNNNNNNNNNNNNNNNNNNNNNNNNNNNNNNNNNNNNNNNNNNNNNNNNNNNNNNNNNNNNNNNNNNNNNNNNNNNNNNNNNNNNNNNNNNNNNNNNNNNNNNNNNNNNNNNNNNNNNNNNNNNNNNNNNNNNNNNNNNNNNNNNNNNNNNNNNNNNNNNNNNNNNNNNNNNNNNNNNNNNNNNNNNNNNNNNNNNNNNNNNNNNNNNNNNNNNNNNNNNNNNNNNNNNNNNNNNNNNNNNNNNNNNNNNNNNNNNNNNNNNNNNNNNNNNNNNNNNNNNNNNNNNNNNNNNNNNNNNNAUACAUUAUUUUCAUUAUCGUGCUGAUAACAUGUUAUAAAAUAACCUGGAAUAUAUGCGGAUAUUGAGCUGCACGUAAAAUAGAUGACACAGCUUUUAACGAGGUUCGGCUAUGCCUACGUCCUCGGAGAGCAGCAGCAGUAACCUUUCACUAUAAAAUGAUAUGGCUACAGCUUUAGUGUUUACAACAUAUGUGGCUCACUGAAUUUUCUCUCUAGGAGAAUUUCUCUCUGCUUUCUCUUCUCUCUUUUCUUUUUCUUCUUUUCUUAUUUCUUCUUUCUCUGAUGGUGGUCUUAUUUAUAGGCUGAAAUAAUCACUAUUCACUAUUCACCCGUGACAGACAAACUCUACCAAAGUCUCCAAAUGAAUAGUAAUGAAUUCACCCGUGACAGACAAACUCUACCAAAGUCUCCAAAUGAAUAGUAAUGAAUAGUUAGUAGGCUCCACACCAAGACUUUUACAACAAAUAACAACUUUUAUAUAUAUAUAUAUAUAUCACAUGCACAAAUGAAUACUUCAAUUCCUUUUUACUUCCAUACAGUGCCAAAAAAACCCUUAUAAUUCCCGCAUGCAAACAUGCAUAAAUUUCCAACAUUUCCCAUAUCCAAGUAAAAACAAAUAUAAGUUUAAAAAUACCUUUUUAUGCAUGAAAUUUAAACUUUAAAACAAUUCUUAUUUAAAACAAAGCCCACUCACAGAAAGUCCAAGCUGGUAGUGCCCGAUGGGGGUCUCGUCUGCUAGCUAGCCAGAGCCUGAGCACCUAUUGAAGAAAUAUCGAGAUAUGUUAAAAAUUGUAUUUCGAACACGAACUUUAAGUUAGAAAGAAAACCCUAAUUCCCGGGAUUUAAUGCGUAGUUCCUGCUGGAGAGAAUAUGAAAAAUAGGAGUGAGAGAUGGAUACCUGGAGAAAAUUGAUGAGAAUAACCUAUUGAGAAGAUAGCAGAGAACCCUAGGGAGAAGAAUGAAAAGAGUGUUUAAUUUUUCAUGGUAGAACGCGUGUUCUUUUCCCUAGUCUUAUAAUUAAGCGUAUAUUAUCUAAACUGGUGUGUGUGAGUUGAAUUAGUUAGUCAGAAAAGGAGAGUAUUAAAAAUCCAACCCAUUUAAAAUAGUCAAGUAAUUAAAUAAUACAAGUUGACACCAACAUGACAUGGACUAUUUACUCCUAUCCAAAGUCUAAUACGGUGUAUCAAAUGAGCCCUUAGUACUCUCAUCACCUGACUAACUAAUACAAUUCACAGACCCCGGUUUAGAUAAUACACGCUUAAUUAUAAGAUUAGGGAAAGAAAGAACACACACACUCACUCUCUCUCUCUCAAGUUGAUUAGCAACUGAUGACUAUUCUGACUAGCCUAUAAACCCAGCAGGUUGACUCUUCCUCCAGCCCCUAAUGAACGAAAUAAUUUGUUGUGCCAUAGACAGACUCAAUCAAAUCCCUUCAUCUCCAACCACAGAUUCUCACAAUUUUGGUUCCCUUUCAAUUUUGAUUGCUACCCAUCUUAGUUUCAAGUAUGUGUUGUUCAAUAUCUUCAAUUGUGUGAGAAAUUAUUUGCUACACAAAUUGACAGAUUUGGUGGACGGUUGGUGUGGGCGUGGGGGUAGGGGCUGCUCAUGGUCCAGAUUUAGGGUUGGGUGUGUUGAGAAGAUUUGGGGAUGGACUAUGAUUGAAAGAAAUCGAAAGGUGCUCCUACACCCAAAAAACCUAGUAGAAUUUGGUGAAUCUGAUAGUAGAGCUUCAAAAAUUAGAUUUCUAUUAUUGGGUUGAGUUAUUGAUAACAGAGAAACAUCAAUUUCUAUGGUUCUUGGUUGUGGGUGGUUCAACGCUCCCAAUCAACAAGAUAACCUUCCUAAGCGAAACAUAAUUAUAUACAUCCUUGAUGAUGGAAUGGAACUGAAGAUCCAAUUGAUGAUAUAGAAAGGCACUAUAGUUUUAUUCUUAAAAAUUCAACAAUUUAUCGAAAAAGGAAAAAAAGUGGAUAAUUGUGGAGGAAAUAAUGGUGUCAGAAGCAAAUGGAGCCCGAUCAACAGUAUCCAACAGAGCACCAAACACAAUAUAACUUGUAUUUAUCUGGAACAGAACAAAACGCCUAAUAAUAUAAUAGAUAAAUGUUAUUACUCUCCGAAACAAAUUACUACUAUUCGACAAAAAUUAAUCAGUACAAUCCAACGUACCAAACAAUCCCAUAGUUUUGGUGGUGGUUUCAACAAGAAAGUGAGUGCGAUUUUGUUUGUAGUUCAUAUGUAAACUUGUUGCGCCUCCAUUUAGUAAAUGUUUAAAAGUAUUUUGACAUACAAAUGUUCGUCAAUCACUUUCAUAUACAAAUGUUUCUCAAUCAUCUAGGUUUUCACCACAAGCGAAACAAAAUUCUCUAAUUUCCAAAAGUAUUUAGAGAAAAUAAUUGAGAAGAAAUAUACCACUACUAGUGAGAAGAAAUAUACCACUACAAAGUUCACCCAGCAUGGAUAUGUUGAAUUGCUAGUGAGAAGAAAUAUACCACUACAAAGUUCACCCAGCAUGGAUAUGUUGAACUGCUAGUGACCCUUUCUAAAGAGGAGCAUGGAUUGUGUGUUUUCUAUUGGAAUGUGUGCGUUAACACUACGUUUAAGGUUAAUCAAUAAUGAGUGAUAGAAGCUGAUAUAAAAACACAAUACUUUUAUAUUUAUUCUUUUCUUUAUGUAGAAGUAUUAUUAUUUUAAUAUCAAAAAUUCUAGGCAACACUUGCAUAUCUCAUUUAAUAUGUUCCAUUUGCAAAAGAAUGACGAGCUCUAUGUUUUGGCUACAAAUGAGAAGCCUCUCUUGUGGUAAAAAAGCUAGAUGAUGUACAAUUUUACUUUAUGCAAUAAUACUUAAACACUUUGUCAAUUAAUACAUUAACACUUGGUCACUUUUUUGUGAUUUUUCUGUGCAAUAAUACUUAAAACGCUUUUGUCACUUAAACUAUUUCAUUACAUUUUGUAACUUUCUCUACUUAGAGAAAGUUGUUCUUAAAGUCCGAGCAUUGGGCAACCUGAGAUCUCAGUAGCAGUUAUUUCUUUAGACUUAAGGAUGCCAUGCUUUGUGGCAAAUUGAAGGAUGUAACCCACCCAAGUAAAAUGAAAAUGGAGAUAAUGGAUAAAGAAAGUCUAGAAGCUGUAAUUGACUCGCUCGGCAAGAGUUUUCAUUCUGAUCUUAUUUGUUCAUGAAUUAUAGCUUCGUGAAAGAAGAAAAGGCUUGAGACUAGGUAAUAAACACUAUUUUGAUUUUUACGACNNNNNNNNNNNNNNNNNNNNNNNNNNNNNNNNNNNNNNNNNNNNNNNNNNNNNNNNNNNNNNNNNNNNNNNNNNNNNNNNNNNNNNNNNNNNNNNNNNNNUUCAGCUUUUCAUCCAUAUUUGUCAUAUAUCAUAAUAGCAGUUACGGAACAUUAGAGUCCGCAUAGUAAAAUAGUAAUAACAAAUAGAGUCAUAAAAUCAAAAAAUUGGUUAUUACCUUGUCUCUAGCCAUUUUUUCUUUCACGAAGCUAUAAUUCAUGACAACAAGAUCAUAAUGAAACUCCUGCCCGAGCGAGUCAAUUACAUCGCCCAGAGUUUCUUUAUCCAUUAUCUCCAUUUUCUUUUUAAUUGGUUGGGUUACAUUCUUCAAUUUGCCACAAAGCAUUGCAUCCUUAAAAUAUGUUCAAUCUAACUCGUCUAAAAAAACAACUGCUACUGAGAUCUCAAGUUGCCCAAUACUCAAACUUUAAGAACAACUUUCUCUAAGUAGAGAAAGUUACAAAAUGUAAUGAAAUAGUUUAAGUGACAAAGUGUAAAGUAUUAUUGCACAGAAAAAUCACAAGAAAGUAACAAAGUGUUUAUGUACUGAUUGAUAAAGUGUUUACGUAUUAUUGCAUAAAGUAAAAUUGUACCUCAUCUAACUUUUUCACCACAAGAAAGGCUUCUCAUUUGUAGCCAAAACAUAGAGCUCAUCAUUCUUUUGCAAAUUGAACAUAUUAAAUGAGAUAUGCAAGUAUUGCCUAGAAUUUUUUAUAUUAAAAUAAUAAUACUUCUACAUAAAGAAAAUAAUAAACAUAAAAGUGUCGUGUUUUAAUAUCAGCUUUUAUCACUCAUUAUUGACUGACCUUAAACGUAGUGUUAAUGCACCCAUUCCAAUAGAAAAUACACAAUCCAUGCUCCUCUUUAGAAAGGGUCUGUAGCAGUUCAACAUAUCCAUGCCGGGUGAGCUUUGUGGUAAGACCUCAAGUUCUUGGCAGUCCCCAUUUUUUCCCUUUCCAGUUUCAGAGAUGCCUGAAUUUGACCCAUUUGUAUGACCACCCUAGUUAUGAUUAAAGUACAUUGAUUAUGUCAUCAUUUAAUCAAUACAUGUGUUAUGAGAGGUCAAACAUAAGUAAGCUCAAAAAUGCUAGAAUUCUACUUUAUUGAUGCUAUGUGAGAUAAGAGAAAUAAAUGUGCAAACCUUGGGAAGAGGAACUUUCUAAGCAUGGAAUAUGGAAUCCUUAAGAGCUUGAAAAUUUCAUGCUCCUCGAAAAUGUCAAAUUCGUGUAUCCUGCAGCCAUUAUGUAUGUUACAAUUGAAAAUCAAAGAAAUAAAUUUUUAGUUCAAACUUAAAAUAAACAAAAACAACCACCUUAAGUUUAAAUUGACAUCAAUCCGAGUAUCAAGUCGAGGGAUUAGCAUCACAGCAUCAUCGAUUCUCCCUUGUUGAUGCUGCUGCUAUCCAACAUAAUUCUACAAUGGAAAAAAGAAUUCUCAACUUCAACUUACACAAAGAAAGAUAAAACCAAAAAUGGUUGCAAGCAAAUCAUUAAGCAUACCAUCCUCAAUUGUGCAGCCACUAGGGUUCUGAGGUCGUUCAUGGUUUUUGCUUUUGAAGUAGAGCCCAACUUGUCCAUCAGCGAGAGAACAUUAGCUGUAACAAAACCAAAUACAAACUGAUAAAAGUUAGCACUGAGUCAGUAUAUUUUUGGUCGAGAAUGAGAAUUUUAUUAGAAGAUUACAAGGGAAACAAACACUAGCAAACAGCCCAAACAAAGGAACAAAAAAAAGGCCAGGAUCAUACCAAUAAAACAAACUAAAACUAGGACUAAAACAAGACAAGGAUGGAUCCAAAUCCAGCUGUGUCUGAUGUUUCUGCCCCCAAUAAAAAAAAAACGAUAUGCAACAUCAGCAGCACUACAAAUAGAAAAGUCAACUACUAAACUCCAAAGACAAGAAGAAAUUAAUUAGCACAGGAGCACUUGAUAUUGAGAGAGAGAGAGAGAGAGAGAGAGAGAGAGAGAGAGAGAGAGAGAAUACCAAUGGCAACAAGAGCACAGGCAUCGCCCUCAAUCUUCUUCUGGUAAUAAAUUAGACUGUAGCGUCCCACAAAUUCAAGUUCUUUGCUGUAUAUUCUCUUUUCCCAGGACGAUGCCAUUGUAUAUUAUUGUUUGUAAAAUAACUAUAAUCCAAAACAAAACAAAAAAACCAAUAAUUAAUCUUCAUUGAUCACAUAAACCAACUACAAAAUGAUGUACAUGCAUUAUCAUUAAAAUAUCAAUAUUAAGUGUCAAAUCAUAAGCUGAUGGUAUGCAUUUAUAUGGUAAACGAUACAACAAACAACAAAAUGAUGUUCGUGCACUUUCAUUAAAAUAUCAAAAUUAAGUGUCAAAUCAUAAGAUGAUGGUAUACAUUUAUAUGGUAAAUAAUACAGCUACAAGAUCACAAACAUUCAAAGAAAAGCACAUAAUUCAAUUUAUUGAGCCAGUCUUGAACUUAAUGCACCUUCUAAACAAUUCUGUAAGAAUCCGUUACAAAUGAAAAUUCUAACGCCCCAAAAAUAUAUAACAUAUCUGUUGCUAGAAAUAGAAAAACUGGUUUUUAGCUUCCAUUUUUUGUACUUCAUAAUGAAGUAGACUAAUAGGCAACAUAGGAAAACAGAUGCACAGAAAGUGAGUAAAUGUGUGUGUGUGUGUGUGUGUGUGUGUGUGUGAGAGAGAGAGAGAGAGAGAGAGAGAGAGAGAGUUCAUUUAAACAGGGAAGUCACAAUUUUCCAAAUACACUUGAAAUCCUUUCCAUUGACCAAAAUGCAGGAAUCAACAUAAACAGACAGACUAAUCGUAUAAAACCAAAAACAUUACAUUUGAUCAGUUUCUUUUCCACUUCACACAUCAAGAUUCCAUAACAAUGUCAAGAUAUGCACGAAACAUAUUCCCAGAAAUAAAAAUGUUUACUUGUACAACUCCUCAGAGCUAAUUACCAACUUGAAAUCACAAAACCCAUUAACAAUAGAUAGAAUGAGUUAAAGAACACCCAUCAUUCAUUCUCCAACAUGAAAUUUUUCUACUUUGAUGCCAUAUACAAGGCAACAUGCAUGACAAACAGCCAAGUAAUUUUCCACGAAAUAAAACAUUAUCAAAAACUGUUGGACGAUCAUACAAAUUCCACAUUUUGUUUUCCAGUUACAGAUUUUCUUCCUUUGACAUAGAAUCUUAACCGACAAUCUUUUCAUACACUCUUUAACUAGGCACCCUCUUUUCUUCAGAAAUAUUUGCCACCAAAAUACCUCCUCAACCAAAUAUCAGGAAAAACACAGAUCCACUUUAUUUUUCUUUACCUUAUUUUCUUAGAAACAAAACAGAGUGCAAAAAGAAGGUUGUUAGGCAAACAUAAAAAAGCCCUAAAAUUUUCACAAAGUUUUCAUGCACAGAAAUGUGACGGAUCUAAAAUUCUAGAGAGAGAAGGUUCAAAAAGGGUUUUAGAGAGAGAGAGAGAGAAAUUAAAAGCACAAGACGCACUGAAACAGAUUUUUGUGAACAUUAUACUCUGAUCUACAUUGCUACGGCAAAAAAAUAGCUUCAAGAGAGAUUACCUGAGGGACAGAGCCGAUCGUUGUCCGAAAAUGACUACUGUAAGCCGGAAACGGCGGGGUUCGUCGCAAUGGAUGGCUCAGGCGACUGAGAAUCACGAGCUCGCCAACAGAGUGAGAGAGAGAGUGUGAGAUUGAGAGUGAAAACGAGAAGAAAUCGAGGACCCCUUUUAUUCCGAGUCAAGCCUGCACACUUCUCUUGGGUCCGGAAUCCAAAUUAUUAUGAACUCUCGUUAAUUGAGGACGUACGUCGAGUUUUUUCUGUUCCGUUGCGCGCCGUGCCCGAAGUAGUCAAGACUGAGAAAUGAGAUAUUUGAUAGGGUACAGCCGCUCACAUGAUAGGCACGUGAUGUUUUUUAAAAACAAUAGGAACCGGCUGUUUUGGGUAACAGGUUAAAAGAAGGAAAACAAAACCACGCGCUCGUUCUUCAACUUGCUCUGAACUGUCGCUCGUCCUACUCCUCUGUAUUGUGGAGCUGGAUAGUCUCGACGGCGCAAACCGGUGGCAGAGGACGGGUCGGACUCGCUUGAAUCGUCUCAGAGCUGCAUCGGCCUUUCGGACCUGCGAUCGUUGUGUCGUCGUGUGAAGAUGCGUUAGAGUUGUUGGGUGGUGCUGCGUUCACGGCAGCAGCGGCGGCGGCGCUGAUAUUGUUGGGAAACGUCAUCGUCGUGGAGGCUUCGACUUCGCCUUCGGCGUUCGUACAAAACGUCAUCUACUCAACAAGAUUGCCAUCUUCUCCAAUUCCUAUUGCCCGUAUGUUAUUAUCUCUCUAUUGCUUGUUCAUUUUGGCUUUUGUGAUAAAUUUAAGGUAUUGGGAUUGGAAAUUCAUAAAGCAAUCAAAUGGAAUUUGAGAAUUGUGAGUUGGUCAAUUUGAUAAUUAUGAGAAAUAUUUAGAGUGUUCAUGUUGAGGAAAAUAUGAAUCCAUCAUCUCAAAUGGGACCUUUUUACUAAUUUAUAGAUUACUUUUCAUUUUCAUGGAUUUAUUGCAUUGUUUUCUAAUUCUGGGAAAUAAAUUGCUGCGUUUCAUCUACUAAAUCUUCAGCUUUCUGUUAUUGAAAUAGUUCGCAAGUUGAGUAGAAAUGUUUAGAAAAAGAACUCUGUGCAUGCCUGUGUGUGAAUUUAAGUAAUGUUGAAAUGAGAGAUUGUGUGCUGUUUUGUGGAUUCUUCUUUGAGGGUCUCUUGCUUGGUGAGAAUUGUAGAGACAGAGAAAGGGAAAGUGGGUAGACAGAGCCAAACUCUCGCCCAGAAGCAGCUCCUCAUCACUUUCACGUGGUACAACAAAAUUUCAGGCCAAAGCUUGACCAUCAACGUUGGGGACAAAGACAAUACCCCAUCACCAUUCAAAUUCAAUUUCAAUUCACAUGCAUCUGGCUGGGAGAUUUUAGUUCCCACGCAUCUGGCUUCUCUUCGUUGUUGUUUCUUUGUUUUUUCUCUCUUAUUUUUUAAUUUAUUUAGAGCAACAAGUUUGGGUUUUGUAAAUUUUUCUUCCUUCAAAUUUUCCCUUGUCCUUUUUUUAAAAUAAAAAUUAAUAUGAGGUUCUCUAAUCUAUUAAAUUAGAUUUUUUUAAUCGUAGCGUAAGAUUUCAUUUUAUUGUAAAAAAAAUUCAUUCAUCUUAGUCAUCAAAGAAAAUAGAGCAUUGAGAUACCAGUUAGAGAAGAAGAAAGAGAAGAAGAAGAAGAAGAUGAAAGAGAGGUUGUGGUGAGGUUCAAUCAGGGGUUUGGGUUUAAUGGUGGUGGAGGUGGUGGUGGGAAAGAUGACGGAGCUACUGCUAGAGGCAGCUUGGUUGGAUUUUGGAUGCAAUUGUUUCCAUUUGGGUACUCUCUUUCAUUUAGCAACUGAUUUGGGGUUCUUCUCACAAAUCUUAGUUCCUUUACAUUUCUGAAAAAAAAAAAACAGGUAGUUUUAUACUAUUUUUGUUUCUAAUAUAAUCAUUUUUAUUUUUGACUCUGACAUCAGCAUGUAGGAUUAUAUCUCUAAUGAAAUUGAUGCCUUUCCACAUCCAGCUCCUUGCAGUGCUUGUAGCAAUUGUUGGUGUGGGUGCUUUUCUGUGGUGGGCAAGGCAGGAUAUGGUUCAAGACAGUGUAAGGCUACUUCUAUUUUUUCUCUUGCUCACUUCUUAAAGCUCAUAGUUUUCUUCAACUGUGGUAUCAAACAUCUAUUGUUGCCUAGUUAAAACACAACCCAAGUUGUUGAGUGCCUUAAGUUCCAUGCUCUCAAUUUAAUUUCCAUGUUGGCACCUACAAGUGACUGGUAAAACCUUUUUAAUUAUUUAUGUCAGGUUCAAUUAUUUUUUUAAAAAAUAUUAGGUCUUACAUGAUGUUUUGGCAUUUGUGGACGGUUAAUUUAUCAAUCUACAGAUCUUCUAGUGGAUAGUGUACCGUGUACCGAAACGCUCUAUGAUUUUCUUUUAUUUGGAGUUGACAAUUAAGUAAUGUGCUCUUGAUUUCAAAAAACUGUAUCACAGGUGGUAUAUAAACAGGUAAUCUGGAUUGGUGUUGGAUAGUUUCCAUGGAUAGGCAUGUAGAAAUCUAUUGUGUUAUAAUGAGUUCAUGCUUUCCCAUGUGAGAUGUAUCAGAUAAAUGCAUGAUAUGUAUAGGAUGUUUGGAAAGGGUUUAAGUACGCAAGUGAUACUCUUUCAUGUAACAAUUCACGAACGCUUCAUCCACAUCUUGUAAUCAAGUAAUGUCAGAGUAACAUCAUGAGGGUGAUUUUCAAUUGUGAAGUUUUAUUUAUUUCUUACUCUGAUGUCUUCUGCUUUUAAUGAACAACAACCAUUGUUCCCAUAAAGUGCCAUAUAGUGAGGACUUGAGAAAAUGGUUAUGCGCCAUAUGUUGUUCCCAUAAAGUGCCAUAUAGUAAGGAUGGAUUUCCCAUAAAGGUUUUCUUAUACUGUGUUGCUCGUGAUCUUCUAAUUGCUCGUGAUCUUCUAAGUGCUAGAUAACUUAGUUCAUUUUGAGUAUUUUUAGUUUUAAAUGUAAUUUUUAUUGUGAUUUAAAUAUCAUGUUACAAUGGAUAGAUUUGCAGGUUGUAUGUAAUUAUAUUUAUUUUAAUUAGUUUGCAAUUUCAAUUUUCAAUUUAUUUUUUAAUAUUUAUUUUAUUAUUAGGUUUAGCUUGGUUUUGCUACUGAAUGAGUUAUGAAGCUUUGCAGAAGUGAAUUAACAUAAAUUAACCAAUGCCCCAUUGGUUAUGUUGGUUGUUGAUUGAUUACAAACAAAACAGAUGGAGGAAAGGGUAAUUGUACACCGCUGUCUAGUUUUUGUAUCAUGGGACGUGCAAUUGCGCAGUCUCUUUAAAGCCUAAACUUGAAUAAAAUUCAUUUUUAAUGACUUCUGUAAACCAGGAUAUGCAAUUGCAUACCAUUUAUGCAAUAGUUGACCCUAUAUAUGCAAUUAUUAUCAUUUGUACAAACAAAUUUCACUCUCGUGCUUUCUCGAAGUAGACAAACUAGUGUAGAUUUAAUAAGCAAGUGAAACUUUUUCAGGUUUUUGGAACUCAAAUGGUUUUCAGGUUCUUAUACUCGAGAUCGAUAUUUUAAUCAUUACCCUUAACAUGGAUAGUGAUGAAUUCAAUUUCUGCUAGACCUGGCAAAUGGAUUUGGGGUCAUGUUCGUGUUAACCCGCUAAUUUAAUGGGUUGACACGACACGACCCGUUAAGCUAACAGGUGAGAAAUACCAGACCCAAACACGACCCAUUAAGAAUAAACUAGGAAAUAUAUAUAUAUAUAUAUAUCCCAAAACGAGCUAGCAACCCCCUAUCUCUGCCCUUUUUCUCCCAAUUUUCAUCUUUCAUAAACACCAUCCAAAAAUCUACAAGUUCAGGAUUAGUCUUGCAUAAUGAUAAAACAAGAGAAGCAAAAUGUUGGUUGAUUAGAUUAUUUAUAUAUAAUUUUAAAAAAAAUAAAGGGAGGGAGAGAAGAAGAGAAGAAAAAAAUGGAGAGAAAAGAAAGAGAUGGAGAGAAUAAGAAGAAGAAGAAGAAAAAAAGGGAGAGAAGAAGAGAAGAAAAAAAAUGGAGGGGAGAGAUGGACAAUUUCCGAAAGGGGAGAAGAACAGGAAAAAAGUGAGAGAUUGAGGGAUGUAGAGAAGAGAAAAAAAGAGAGGGGCAGAUGAGAAAGUCGACGAAGAGAGGAAGUGGAAUGAAGGAAAAAUAAUAUUAAAGAGAGAGAGAGAGAGAGAGAGAGAGAGAGAGAGAGAGAGAGAGAGAGAGAGAGAGAGAGAGAAGGAAAAUAAGAAAGAAUUUUUUUUUUUUUUUUUAAGGCAUGAUGUUGGGGAUAUGAGAUAUUUAAAAAAAUACAGAAUUACUCUCCUUAACGGGUGGAUGCAAUAUUCGCAAAUUGACCCGACACGACUCGUUAGCUUAAUGGGUUCACUUGUUUUCAACCCGACCCAUUAAGUUCAACCCAAAUAUUGAUAAUUUGAUGCGAAUUCGUGUCAUGUUAACGGGUCGUGUGCAAUAUUGCCGGGUCUAAUUUCUGCACCUCACAAAGGUAAGGUCAAGGAUUAAAAUAUCGGCCGUGCAGAUAAUAUAGGGCCUCCAAUUUACAGAAAUUUCGAGGAAUAUAUCGUUAUCGUUUUAGGUAUCGAGAAAAAAUCAACAAAAAUGACAAAUAUAAGCAUUGAAAUACGUAAUUUUGGUGUAAAAUGUUCAUAAAUGUUAUGUACAUUAUCAAUGAUUGUAUUAAAAAUUAGGAUUAACCGAACUAGUAGGCAGGGGCGGCCCUGGCAUGAUGCAAGUGGUGCCACUGCAUAGGGCUCCUGAUUUUUUAGGACCUCCGAAUUUCUUUUACUUUAUAUAAUAUAUAUUAAUAUUAUAACAACUGUAUAUAUACUCCAACGUGCCGCACAUUGACACAAAAUUUUAUUUAGUGGAUUUGGUUUCUAGUGCAUAUCCUUUGGUACAAGGUCUAGGUUUGAGUCUUAGUUAUGUGAAUAUAUUUGUAAUUUUAUUCUCUUUUUAUUAUAAGAACAAAUUUUAAAUAGUUUUAAAAAAGAAGCACGUGAAAAAUAUAAGGGGAAAUAUCCAAUUAAAUUAACAAUAGUAUAUAUCACACCCAUACGCUUUUUCUUUAAAAAAUAAUAAUAAUAAUUUCUUCGACUCAAAACAAAACAAAACAACAUAAAAAAUAAAAAAAUCAUGUCUUCUUCUUUCUCAUGAACUCUUAUUUUUUCUUCCCGAACAUACCAAAAUUUAACUUUAUCAAAUGAAUGCAACAUACUCAACGAACGUAACCCUUGUGUUCGCGUGAAAAAAUAGUGCGUUUGUUUGAAAAAGAAAGUUAGUGGGGUCCAUUUUCCCAAGAAACGGGCAAUUUUACUCUACGAACGCACUCCUUGCGUUCGCAUGAAUAAAUAUCCCGUUUGUUUGAAAAAGUAAGUUCAUUUGGCCCUUUUCUUGGGGGAACGGGCAACUUUAAUCAACGAACGCAACCCCAGCGUUCGCGUGAACAAAUAGCCCGUUUGUUAAGUUAGUUGGGCCCAUUUUUCCGGAGAAUUGGCAACUUUACUCAACAGACGCAACCUCUGUGUUUACGUGAACAAAUACCCCGUUUAUUUGAAAAAUUAAGUUAGUUUGGUCCAUUUUUCCGGGAAAUGGGUAACUUUACUUAACAAACGCAACCCCUGCGUUCGCGUGAACAAAUAGCCCGUUUGUUUGAAAAAGUAAGGUAGUUGGGCCUAUUUUUUCAGGGAACGGACAACUUUACUCAACGAACGCAACUAAUUGCGUUCGCGUGAACAAAAAGCUCAUUUGUUUGAAAAAGUGAGUUAGUUGGGCCAAUUUUUUUGGAGAACGAGCAACUUUACUCAACGAACGCAACCCUUGCGUUUACAUGAACAAAUAGCCCGUUUGUUUGAAAAAGUAAGUUAGUUUGACCAUUUUUCCGGGGAACGGGGAACUUUACUCAACGAACGCAACCCCUGCAUUCGCAUAAACAAAUAGCCCGUUUGUUUGAAAAGUAAGUUAGUUUGGCCAUUUUUCCGGGGAACGAGGAACUUUACUCAAUGAACGCAACCCCUGCAUUCGCGUGAACAAAUAGCCUGUUUUCUUAAAAAAGUUAGUUAGGCCCAUUUUUCCAGGGAAUAGACAACUUUACUCAACGAACGCAACCUAUUGCGUUCGCGUGAACAAAUAGCCCGUUUGUUUGAAAAAGUAAGUUAGUUGGACCCAUUUUUUCUAAAAACGAAUAACUUUACUCAAUGAACGCAACCUCUGCGUUUAUGUGAACAAAUAACCCGUUCGUUUGAAAAAAUAAGUUAGUUUGGCCUAUUUUUCCGGAAACAGGCAACUUUACUCAACGAACACAACCCCUGCGUUCGCAUGAACAAAUAGCCCAUUUGUUUGAAAAAGUAAGUUAGUUGGGCCCAUUUUUCAGGGGAUCAGACAACUUUACUCAACGAAUACAACCCAUUGCGUUCGCGUCAACAAAUAACCCGUUUGUUUGAAAAAGUAAGUUAGUUGGGCCCAUUUCUAUAGGGAACGGACAACUUUACUCAAUAAACACAACAUAUUGCGUUCGCGUCAACUAAUAGCCUGUUUGUUUGAAAAAGUAAGUUAGUUGGGCCAAUUUUUCCGAGGAACGAGCACCUUUCCUCAACGAACGCAACCCCUGCAUUUACGUGAACAAAUAGCCCGUUUAUUUGAAAAAGUAAGUUAGUUUAGCCCAUUUUUCCUGGGAACGGGCAACUUCACUCAACGAACGCAACCCCUGCGUUUACGUGAACAAAUAGCCCAUUUGUUUGAAAAAUAAGUUAAUUUGGCCCAUUUUUUCGAAGAACAGGCAACUUUACUCAACGAACGUAACCCCUGCGUUUACCUGAACAAAUAGCCUGUUUGUUUGAAAAAGUAAGUUAGUUGAGCUCAUUUUUCCAGGAAUGGACAACUUUACUCAACGAACGCAACCCAUUGCGUUUGCAUCAACAAAUAGCCCGUUUGUUUAAAAAAGUAAGUUAGUUGGGCCAAUUUUUCCGAGGAACAAGUAACUUUACUCAACGAACGCAACCCUUGCAUUCACGUGAACAAAUAGCCCGUUUGUUUGAUAAAGUAAGUUAGUUAGGUCUAUUUUUCCGGGGAACGGGUAACUUUGCUCAACGAACACAACCCUUGCUUUUGUGUGAACAAAUAGUCUGUUUGUUUGAAAAAGUAAGUUAGUUGAGCCCAUUUUUCCAGGAAUGGGAAUCUUUAAUCAAUGAACGCAACCCUUGGGUACAAGUUCAAGGAUUAAAUCAACAAUUUAGCCAUGUUUAAUGGUUUUUGGGCAUAUAUCGCAUAUUUGAUAGCACAUGUGUGCAAUUCUCAGUAAAUAAUAUGCAUUUGCAUAUACCUGUAUGCAAUUUUGUAGCAUCUAUGUGCAAUUCUUAUUUUACAAUAUGCAAUUGCAUAUAUAGUAUGCAAUUUCGUAACGUCUGUUUGCAAUUCUUAAUUUACAAUAUGCAAUUGGAUUCUGCCCUUCUUUUGGUCUUUAACUUUGUCAUUUUUACUAGAAGGCUGAUCGGCUCACACUCUUAUAAUGUAUGUAAAUAUCACCAAAUUUCCUCUUUUUGGCUAGAGGGCCUCUUUUUUGUGUGUGUUCAUUUGCAAUGACAAUACAGAUAAUCUACUACUACCUAAAAGCUAUAGAAAAUUAAAUGUCAUAUCAUCUAUUUUCUCUAACCAAGACUACAUGUCACAUAAAUAAGAAAUAAGAUCUCAAAAAAGAAACAGAAACAAAGAAAACACUUUACCUAAAAUAUUUUGUAAUACGGUAGAGUACACAAAUGUUAGCCCCUAACUAUGAUAAUUGUUAUCAAUAAAUACAAAGAUGAAUUUAAAUUAGUUCUUCCAUUUGUUUUAAAUUCUUUUCAAUAUGGUCAACUAUGAUAAUUGAUUUAUUUUUAUAAAGGUCAUCAAUGAAUACAAUAGAACAUAUGUUACCAAAUUAUUGAAAAAAAGAACUUUUAAAAUCAAUUAAAAGUGAAUAGAAAGAAAAGUAUAAAUAAAAGGUAUACAAAGGUAUCCUUUUAAAAGUUAAUAUUUUCAUUCUACACAACUCAAGACCACUUGCGCCACACGUUAUAUUUUGCUAUAUUAAUUGUCAUAUUAUUGUUUCAUAUAAACACAAGCCCAUAUAAACACCAAUUCUUAAGCCCAAAGGGUUAGCUAAAUGGUAAGGUUAGGUGGUGUAAUAUAUUAGAAUUACGGUUCAUCAAAAGGUCAAAUUUGCUUCCAUUAUUAAGAACAGAAUAAAUAUAAAAUUACUUUGGUUUCUCAAACAGAUUUUCCUUUCACAGAGAGUAACGCAAAGCUUGGCAGCACCCCUCAGAAGACACAAUCAAAUAAUAAAAACAGAUUUGUAUUUCACCUAAGCAACUCAUGAUUUUGGCACAAAGACAAAUUAUCCAGUACAAAUUUCCUUAAUUUGUUUUUUCACAUGUAUCCAUAUUCCUUUUCAGUAGCCAAUGCAGUGAUGCGAACCUUCCUUGCAAUUUGUGCGCCUACAAUAGGAAAAAUGGAAAAAAUUAGACGCAAGAGAAAUCGUAAAAUUGCACAAUCUACAAAUUUGAACAGCAAGAAAGAAAAAAACAGUAAUUAGAAUGAACUACAACAACCAAAUAAUGAGAGAACCUCAAAAUACAACCAAUCAAAUUCUAUAAUGACAAUUACCCAAAUUGAAGUAAAUAAUUAAAGUUUCAGAAUUCUAAUAGUGCAACUAAAAAAGAAAAUUAUCGCUUUUCUUUUAUUUAAAAAAAAAACACAUUACAAUCAUGAAGCAUGAAACUUAAACUGAAUACAGAACAGGAAAGAAAAAAAUUGCAACCAAAUGUUCCUAUUAUAGGAAAAGGGACUAAUAUAGGAGUUCAAUUGGGAAAAUGGAAAUAUUAGAAGCCUUUAAGGCUUUUUAUACAAAGAGAAAACAGAUAUCACACAAAAACAUUAACAAAUUUCAUACGGCAACUCUGUACUUAAACUAACUCUUUACCCAAAAAAGGAAAAGAAAAGAAAAAGUAGAGCUAUACUAAUUAUUUCUCCCCUAAAAAGACAAUCAUCUGCUAUUUCGUGGAAUUUGCAUGUUUGUCUGCUAAACAUGUUUUGUUCUCACAACCUGUUGUGUGUAAUCUAACUGCUGGUUGCCUGUGAAGAUCCUUUAACUUCGUCAACAAUUUCCUCCUGGUUGUGUCCUCCUCCUUUACAAAUAAUAGUAAUGUAUAUACCUUAAAUGCUUCACAGCUUUAUCUCUUAAUUGUUCCCCUCUGAAAUUUGUUGACUUCAUCCAUUAUGCACAACAAAACAGAAUAGAUAGUUUAAAGAACAAAACUAAUAUCAACUAAUGAAAACAGGAAAAGUGGCUGAAUUUAUGUUCUAUUGCCAAAUCACAUACCAAAUGUAUGCUUCGUAAUAAACCAAAAUGAAGCUAUUGAUCUGGCAAACAGAUAAAUAAGUUUAAACAAACAAACAAAGGCAUAGUCACCCAAAGACUCAAUCUUUGGGUUCAAAUACUAAAACAAUUUAUUCAACAUAUAAAGAUGAUAUAACUUGGAUUAAAUAUCAUCCAAUUUGUUUCUUUCUUAGAAGAUCUGCAUUAGAAGGUCAGAGCGUUUUCAGUCAAAAGAAAAGGGAAUUUCAUAGAAAGUUGAAAUAGAAGUAACUCAAAGAAAGCAUUUUCUUCACCUAACUGUUUCUAACCCUUCAACUCCUCUGCCAAAAGAAUCCCCUGAGAAAACAAAAGAAGAACAAAAAUCAAAGCCUAACCUGGACACAACUCUAAAUAAAUGAAUUAAUGAGAAAAGCAGAGAUGAAGAGGAGAGCACCGAAAAACUGCAAGCAACUAAAAUGAACUGCUGAUUAUGAAUAUAACAAAGCUUCUUGAAGCAGACCCAUCUAAGCUUAUAAUCUGCAGUGGAAAAGAGAAUGAGAAGAAUGCCCAAGCAAGCAUCCAUCCCAGUACCCUUACAUGGAAAAAAAAAAUUCCAUGAUUCAGAAUUCUGUAAUAGAAAUUGACACAUUAAAUCUAACACAAAUAACAUGUUAUCUAAAAUCCAAACAAAUUAACACUCGAAAAGCAAAAAUACCACUCGACAUUCCAAAUGUCAUCUAUGAAUGGCACAUAACUUGUCCCUCUCAAUGUCAGUACACAAUCAAAAACUGGAAGUACCGUGUUAUUUGGAGUGUAACGCCAAAAAAGUGGCCUGAAAACGGAGUCUUACUCCGUGGUCAUGAUAUCCAGCUUCUUUCCAGUCGGAUUCUUUGUGUAAAGGACAAUUGCCAUUUUCUGAAUAAGCACUUGAUGUAAUCAGAGAAAUCCAACUCAAAGGUUGCAAAGAUUCAUGACCAAUGAUGUGCGAUAACUGGUAUAAAACUAUGAAUAGCACACAAUAAACAACAGAAAGAAGAAACCUUGAUACAAUUAACAUGACUAUUGCAAAUUCAAAAAGAAAUAAAUGACCAAAACUCUGCUGCACAAUUCUCUCCACUAGCGUAGAGGCUUCUUGAACAAAAAAAAUUGUGCAGCAACUCGUGAGAAACUCACCACCACCAUUGUCUCGAAUGCCCAUAUGGUAGCCAAGAUCAAAAUCAAGAAGUGCAGUACCACCAUUGCAUACCCAACAUGAGUGUGACAUUUCAGCAAACAAAUGGAGAGCAUGUGGUGAUAUGCCAGAUGUAUCAACCCCAAAACCCAAUUGCUUCCAAGCUUCUUGAUCAAGAUUCUUCAAAGACAAAAACCGAGUAAUCUUCUGAAUUGAACUGAUGGAAAAAGAAGACAACUAAGCAGGCAAACCUUGCGUGGAUGGUGAUUCCGGAAUCGGCGAUGUCCGAUGACUGUUGCAUCUCAGCGUCGGCAGAGGUGAGACGCCCAGAUUCUGAUUUGGGGACAUAGAUGAGGAUUGGAUUUCCAAGAGAGAGAGAUCGAUCGCAGAGAUAAGCAGGUCCAGUGCACGCCAGGGCUUCCGCGCGUUCGUUGAAGCUUUUCACUUGUUUUCUCAGUCACGUGUAUGUCACGUGAUAUUUAAUAACAAAGGGCUCAACAAGUCUUCAGGUCAUUCAAUCUCAGCCCUUCAUUUUUAAGAUGCAAUACUGACCCUUGGAUAACUGGCUGCACCGGUACAGCUGAGGCACCGCAGAAUUUUCCUUUUUAUGCCGAUAUUUUUAUUUUUAUUUUUGAGACUAUCCUUUUUUUCUUUUUCUGUUUUUUUUUUUUCAAAAGUUGAGACGAUCCUUUUGAUAGUAUAUUUUGUUUUAUUGUUUUAUUUUCCGAAAAAUUAGCAGAUAUGACACUACUAGUGACAGUGUAACCCAACGAAUUUUUCAUAAACAUGUCCAUCAUCACUUGUUACAACUUGACAACCACUUCCCUAAACCCUAUAAAUCCUUUUGACAGAAAAAAAAAAAACAUAUAAAUACUCACAUGGCCACGCUGUCAGAGUUUUUGCAGCUCAUGCUAAUCAAAUCUUUUUAUAUUGAUUAUGGUGCGCUUGGGGGUUGUGGAAGGAAUUCAUUGCAAUCACCAUCACCAGCAAUUCCAAAACCCCAAUAACCAAGAUUCAAGCCAAACAAAACAUGGAAUAUAAUGAUGCGCUAUUCGAGAUGCUCCUGGAAAAUAACACAAGCUCUAUAUUCAUGUUGUCGGAAGAGUGAACCCUCAUGCCAGAUCAAGCUAUAUCUUGAUUCAACUCAACCAUUAGAUUAUCCAAAUCCAAACUAAUCAUGCCAAGCCAAAUCACAUUUUUCCAGCACCUAUUCCAUGCCAAACAAAACAUCCUUCCAGACAUGCCAUGUUUCAAAUAUCCUUCCAGCACAUGCCUUAUUUCAAACAUUCUUCCAGCACAUGCCCUAUUUCAAAUAUCCUUCCAGCACAUACCCUAUUUCAAACAUCAUUCCAGCAAAUGCCCUGUUUCAAAUAUCCUUCAAGCACAUGCCCUGUUUCAAAUACCCUUCCAGCACAUGCCCUAUUUCAAAUACCCUUCCAGCACAUGCCCUAUUUCAAGCAUUCUUCCAAUAUCUAGCCAUCAUGUCGCACGCUAUCACCUUUACUGAGGUUUUGUCUACCAAAUUCAAGUGUUCUGGAGCUGGUGAUGUAAACUCAAUACAAGCCAAAGCCAAGCAAUACUAAGCAUACAUGCCCAUGCCAUGCAUCCAAGCAUACAUGCCAAUGCCAAGCAUCCAAGUAUACAAGCCAAUGCCAAGCAUACAUGCCAAUGCCAAGCAUCCAAGCAUACAAUCCAAAAUCAAGCAUACAUGCCAAUGCCAAGCAUCAAGCCAAAUACCAAGAAUACAUGCCAACAUCAAGCGUGCAAAUCAAUGCAACUCUUGCAAAUCACAACCAUGCAAAAUCAAGCCUCUCUAGUCACUCAAGCAAAUAAAUGAUGCAAGCUAAGUUAUUUUGAGCUAAUCCACCAAGCAUCUUCUUCUUUGUCAUGCCACAAAAUAGGCCAACUCUUGGUAACUCUAGUAAGUGACCACCAAAAUUACAGUGUCUAGGAAAAUUCUUCAGGGCAACACCCUCUAUGUUUAAGAAGGAUUGGGUUUUAAGCGGGACCAUUGCGACCCCUCCAACCUUCUUGGAAAAAACCUGGCUGUAAUUUCAGAGACACUUAACUAGUCAUCCUUGAGUUGUUCCUAAACUCAUGCCACUGCCAUUUAUUUUGGGCUGGAAAUUGAUUAUUUGGACCAUUUCAAUACACAUUCACGGCCCUAAUAAUCAAGGGGGCUAAUGUUGAGACCCAAAAAAUUCAAGGCUAUGCCCAAAUAUAUUCUUGAUCCAAUGCGAUACCUUACCGAAAAGAAACCCAAUUUGGGCAUGCGAAAGUUCGUCAUAUACGCUUGCACACAUGCCACGCCAAGCAAAUAAGCAACACGCCAUGCUACAAGCUUAAGUGGGCCCAAGCCACACGAAUACCUGAGGCUUGUUGAGCGGGUUGUUGUCACAUCCCGGAAUCGGCUCCGCCGUAGCACGAUAUUGUCUGCUUUGGGCCCCCCUCACUGCCCGCACGAUUUUGUUUCUGGGAGCUCACGAGCAACUUCCCAGUGGGUCACCCAUCCUGGGAUUGCUCUAGCCCCCAACUCGCUUAACUUCGGAGUUCCUACGACUUCGAAGCCAGUGAGCUCCCAAAAGGCCUCGUGCUAGAUGGAUGCGGGUGUGCACAUAUAAGGCAUAUCACCUCCUCUCCGUUGGUUGAUGUGGGAUCUUACAGUUGUGGUAUGGAUGGUUACAAGUAUUCAAGCGGCCCAUUGAUGGUCCAAGGAGUAGAAGUUUUGGGCUACUUGGGAGCACUAAAACUCAAGCCCGUUCCUUGAGCCCAAACAUAUGGGUAAGCAUGAGAGAAAACCUAGUAGCCCAUCACCUUAAGAAAACCUAAUAGUCCAUAACACGUGAGAAAAUCCUACAUCAGCCAAAGCUUCUAGCAGUCUGACGAAAGAAAAGGGAACUCACAAGCCGCUGGAAACAAAACAACCCAGCCGAGCACCUUAUAAAAUAUCCAACGUCAUGCAUCCCUGUUAAAACCAGAUCAAAGCCAAACCAUCAAAACCAAGCAAACCCAUGUGCUGAUCACCUUUUUUUACUAGCACCCUUAGCCAUUCUUUCCUCUUCAAGCUUUGGUUAGAAAUCAAGAAGCAAAAGUGGGUGGCACCUCACCCACAUGGAGGAGUCCAGUUGCCUGAGGACCUUGGAACCCCAAAAAGCUGCGUGCCUAUGGGUUCAUGCUAGGGAAAUUUCACCAAACAAGAUUAAAUGGAAGAAAGUGAAGAAAAGAGGGAGGGAGGCUUGACAAAAUUAAGGUUUCCAGCGCCUAUAAAAGGAGUCACUUCCUACCUAGCAAAGGAACUCACCUUGGUUGCUACAAGCCUCCCAGCAACCAUGAGAAUUCAUCAAAGGCAAGCAUCCCCUCUGGAACCCUUCAAUUUGAUGCUUUGUUCUUCCAUCUUCCUCCUUUCUCUCUCUCAAAACCCACAUCCAGAGAGAGCAAGCAUCAUCUCUCAUCUCUGGAUCCCUUUGAUUUCAAGCCUUGUUCUUCCAUUGCUUCCCAUUUUCUCUUCUAUCAAAUCACCCAGGAGCCUGACGAAGCUUUCGUCAAGCUACUGGAAAUAUGCUAAAGCCACCCAUGCUUCCAUCUUCUUCCUCUCUUUCCAUAAACACACAUCCAGAGAGCAAACAUCAUCUCUCAUCCCUAAAACCCCUGCAAUUUCGAGCCAUAUUCCUCCAUCUCCUCCCAUCUUCUCUUCUGAAAAUCGCAGCUCUUUCUCUCUCUCAUGCUAAACUCAUAAAUACUCAGCUCACAUGCCACAAGCUUCUCAUGCCAAGCCAAGAAUCUAUCUGUAAACGACUGUUGGUUUCAUUGAUGAAGAAGACCAAGGUGUUUCCUAAGGCUCAGCUACCAUUUCGAAACACUCUUGGGGUCUAAUCCUUGAACUCAGACUCAAGGAGCAAUUUCACACAUUUGACUAUUUACAGUAGCCCAGGGCCAUCAGUAGCUGCCAGAACGAAAAAGCCCCCUACACAUUUAUUUUAACCCUUCGCCUAAGUCACAUUACAACCAUAUUAUUAAGAACCUUUUUUUUUUUUUUUUGGGCUUUAAAAAGGCUCUUUUUUUUACUAAUAAAUUCACUGACAUAUAAGUUUUUUUUUUUUUUUUUUUUGAUAAGGAAAAGAAUAAUUACAAGACAAAGCCUCGCCGGCAAGAACUGACAUAUAAGCUAAGCGCCUAGUAUCUAAACUAUUCUUCUAUUAGUACAUCCACGUACCUCAUAUGGCCUAUACAGACUAGACGCUGUUCACAGAAUUUUGGUCAAUACAUAUCAAAGUACUUUUUUUUUGGGCCCGGAAUACCUAUCAAAAUACUUAUACACAAACACCCAGUGAAAUGCAAAAAGAGCAUAUAGGCCCUCACAAAUUUCAAUCCUCAAGCAGGCAUCAUGUGACACAUUUUUCCCCUCAAGUGGUGGUGUAAGCCGCAGCCUUUUUGCAGUCGGUUGCUCUUGAGGCUCAGGCAUCCGAUCAUCAUCGAACAUUUGCAUAUCAUCACAUGAGAUUGUCCUGUUGUCUACCAUAUUAGAGUCUUGAUGCGUUGGUAUAUCAGGAUUUUCUUGGCAGGAAGAAAGUGGAGCUUCAUUUUCAUUGCAAUCAUGCACCUUAACACGAUCUCGAGAACCUUCAUUUUCAUUCCCAUCAGGCACCUUAUCACAAUCUCGAGAUUAUGAACCUCAUUGUGGUCUUGAGAACCUCCAUUUUAAUUGCCAUCAUGCACCUUAUCAGGGUCUCAAGAACCUCCAUUUCCAUUGCCAUCAUGCACCUUAUCAUGCUCUUGAGAACUUCCCUUUCCAUUGCCCUCAUGUACCUAAUCAAGGUCUUAAGAACCUCCAUAUCCAUUGUUAUAAUGCACCUUAUCAUGGUCUUGAGAACCUCCACUUUUAUUGCCAUCAUGCACCUUAUCAUGGUCUUGAGAACCUUCAAUAAUGGAAGCAUCCGGAUUGCCUGGAGCAAAAACAAGGCCAUCUGUUAAACAUGUGACAUUUUCCAUUUCUUAUUUCUGGCUCAGACCCAAAUCUUCCUCCCCAAGUGGAUGGUUUUCCAUGUUUCCAUUUUCUUCCCUUGCAGAUAUUCCCAAGUCAUAGGAAGUCUCAGCUCCAUAAGCUCUUGAUGUGUACGGAAUGCCACAAGUUUGAGAUGUGAUUCUAGUUAUUUGCUGAAAACCAGAGUCUCAUGUAGGCGAAAAAGCAAAUGCUCUUCAUUUUCUAUUGGUGGUAUAGCCUCCAUUAAGAAGGUAAAAAGAUGACUUUUGGUCAAAUGAUUGAUAUUGUCCAAAUAGUGAGCCAGCGGUGGCUCCUGGCUCAAAAAAUUCCCUGAGAACCAAGCCUGCAUUACCAACACACUCAGAGUCAGAGCUCCCAAGAGAAGAUGUGGAUAACAGAGUAAUUUCAAUCCCCUGGCCUGCUUGAGAAUUAGAUAUAUUUUCUUGGCAAGCUAUAGCUAGACCACAUCUUCCUGAAAAUGACUGCACACCAGUUUCAUGCUCAUUGCAUUCCAGAAAUUUAGCCUGGUCUUCAUCACUGGAAGCUGCUGAAGAGUCUUCCCCCGAUAACAAUUUUCAAGGAGCUCAAAAAUUAACCUCUGGAUAAGAGUACGCUUGAGAGAAGCCUCAGAAGGAAGAAACCAAUCUGGAUUAAGGAAGUUGGAGAACUUGGUUAUUUUGAAAGGACUGAAAUAUACAUGAGCUUCUACCAGAAACAGCUCCAGAUAGUGGAGCAAAAACAGGCCACAAUCGAAUGAAUUUUUCCUGUUGCGGUAACUCAUCAGUGAAUUAAAGCUUCAUGUCCAUUUCUUCAGUGGGACAAACCAAGUUAUAUAAGACAGCAGCACCAUGAUUGGUUGAAGGGAUUAAUCAUGCAACCACUGGGUCUGGAUGACUUUCUAUCACAUCUUUUGUUUAUACUGAAAUAGACAAUGCACACACACACAUGCACACAAAAUUGUGUGUCUCAACCAAAAAGGGUUAUGCAUUUACAAAAGAAAUGAGAGUUUUUUUUUCUUCUAAUAAGAUAAAUUUAUUCAAGGAAACGAGAGUAUACAAAAGGAACACUAUAUCUAAAACUCAUACAUUUAUAAUCAACUGUAAUUGUAAUCAUUCUGUCAACCAAAGGGAAUCUACAAUUGAAUUGACGCUGAAAAAUUUCUUAUAGCCAAUAUUUUGUCCAAGGGAUCUUGUAACAAAUUUAGUAUACAAAUUAUUAAGACCUUUAGAUCUUUGGUGCUGUACGGUUUUCCUGUAGAGAUUUGAUAUGAAGAGCGAGUUUAUGGGGUUUGAUUUUGUUUUCAUGCAUUCAUUUUUCUUGAGUGAAACACUUAACUCAAAUUUUGAGUGCUUUCUUUGUGAGUGACAUUCCGGGUGAGAUUUGCAGUUGAAGCUUUAUUUUGCAUAUACCUGUCCGUAUUGAGUAAGUUGUAUUGGCUAUUUCACAUACUACACGUGAGAAUGUUAUGUGCGGUUUUGUUAACUCCUGAAUCAUGCUUAGAAUUCAUAAGUUGGUUAUUUGAUUCUUUAGAAUUAUAUAUACAUUGUGCAAUUUGUUGAGACUGAUAUGUGAAAGCCCUAAAAUUCUUUUGAGUACAAGUUUUGUUUUAUUUUGCUCGAGGGCUAGCAAAAUCUGAGUUUGGGAAUAGUUGAUAAGCUCAUGAUUAUAUAUCAUUUGAAUACUCUUAUUCUUAGUUUCUCUUAUUUAUUAGUUAUUUACCUUGUUUCUUCUUUUGUAGGUAAAUAUAAACAAUGAAAUUGUAAUUGAUACUUGGGUAAAGGGGGUAAACUAAAACUCCAAUGGAUAGAACAGACAACAAGGGGUUCCUAAUCAAUAUGUCUAGCUAGGCCUCUUGGCCAAGGCUAGGAGGAUGCCUUAGUUUAAUUAUUUGUGUUAUUGAAUGUUGAGUUUUUGAUCUAAUGAGUUGUGUUGAUAAAUUUAUAAUCUCUACUUAAAUUUAUUCUAAAUGUUGAAUUCUUUUGAUUGGCCAUCUUUAGGGUUUGCAUGUAGAUGAUAAGAUGGAUGCAUGUGGACCUAAUAAGUUGCAUAUUUCAAAGCUUUUUGGGAGUAUGAAUUGUGAAUAACUUGAUGCUCUAAUUAAGAUUAAGACUUUAUAUGGUUCCCUGUUUCCAUAAAAUUAAUGAAUCUCAUGUGUUUAAUGUAUGCCAUAAUACGGAUAAAUUACAUAGUGAGAUAAUGAUAUAUUGCAUGGGAGUUCACAAUAAAAUUGUCGUGCCGUGAGAUUCCGUCAAAAUUUCUAUUAGAUAUUGAUGACAUGGCAUGUAUGUGGAGUCCCCAUGUCCAAUAAUUACAUGCCACGUGGAUUUGAAUAAAAAAAUUAUGUUUUGAAAAAUGCUUAAGAAAUUAAAAUUCAUUAAAAAAAAAAACAUAACUAAAUUUAAACCUAAGAAUUAUUUUUUUAAUGAAUUUUAAUCUCUUAAUUUUUUUUAAUAUAAAUUUUUAUUCAAAUUCACAUGACAUAUUAUUAUUAGACAUGUGGGCUCUAUAUACAUGCCAUGCUAUUUAAUGGAAGUUUUGAUGGAAUCUCACGGCACGACAAUUUUGAUGUGUCGUGUGUAACAUAAAGUACCAAUAAUAUCACACACAAAAACAUAAAAAAUCAAAAGUGAUAAUUUCAAAAACCUUAAGGACCAUUUGUGAUAAAAAUCCUAAACAUUAUUGUAUAUGCAAGGGAAGAAUGUACAAGUUGAGUAAAAUCUCUAUAAUAAAAUAUUGUUGGUGGCCCUUUCACAAUAAAGGGAAGGUAGAGCAAAAUGUGGGGAUUGCACUCUAGUAAAAAAGAGAAUGUGCGUAAAGUGUUUAGUACUCAAACUAGACUAUAUAUGUAUGGGUUUAAAAGGGUAUUGAACACCCCCACCCCUUUUUCCUCCUAUCUCCUAGGCUUCUUAUUCUAAGCAGUCCACCACUUAAAACACUUUGAAAGAUUAUUAAUUAAAGGAUGAGAUAUUACCAUGAUUUAUAAAUCAAAAGGAAUUUCAUUAUGAAAAAAAAAUUCUGAUAAUGUAUAAAUUGAAUGGUUAUACAAUACAAUGCAUGACUACAAGCAAGUGAUUCACUGUGUAAUUACUAUUGAAGAAGGUGAUAAUAAUGAAUAUGUUUAGGCAAAGUGGAAAGUGAAAUAGUAUUCAAGGAAAUGUGAAGAGGGUUUCCACCAGCUUCUUCAAGCAAGACUAAAAGAUUUUCCGAGGUUUUAAAGAAGGAUCGAGGAACGUGGUACCUAAGAAACAUAAAAAUCAAUGAUAAAAAUUAAUAAUAAGUGCUAACUAUAAAAAUAUAGUGCGCAUGAAAACCCAGAUUUCUGCAACAUGGAGCUCAUUGAUGAAACAUAUGCUUUGUGGACAAAGAAUUCUCACAACAUGAAAUUACAACACCAAAAAACUACGUGGACGAAAGUGAACAUUCAUAUUCAAUAAAGGAUCACUAUAUAUAAAGUGUCAUUGAUACUUACAUUAUUUGUGAAGGCUCUCUCUUUGAAGUAAGAAAUGAAACCCAGUAACGACCAAUACUUUGCCCAUUAAUCCAAGCUUCGCCCUUACCCAUUGAGCUAAGGUUUAAGGCGACAGGAUCAUUUCCAUUAGGUGCGUCGAAAAAAGUCUGCAAAUCAAUGUUUUAGAUGUAUAGUAAUGAAUAUGAGUUGCACAAAAACAUUCGAAGUAUGUUAAUUUUUAUACAUCUAUCGAUGUUUCACUUAAAAAGUGCAAUUAUAUUAUUACUCUCUUCUCCUAUCUAAAUUAAAAGUUCAUUAAAAAUUCAAAAAGUAAGAGGUGAGAGAGGGUUGUGGGCCUAGGGAGAGCAAAGAGGGAGAAAUUGAGAACCCUUAAUUCUCUCUCCUCCUCUAAAUGUAAAGAGCCACCAAAUUCAAAUAGAGAGUUCUCCAAAAUAGAGAGUCAGAUAACAAGUCUCCUAGAGUUGCGUUUUGCCCUAAUUCUAGCCAAAAUGACUAAGAAUCAGAGCAUAGCAACUCUGCUGGAGAUAAAGAAACACGUAAUCCCAAGAAUUUAUAUUUAAUUAUAAUUGCUUUGAUCUUCUAUAUUUAAUUAUAAAUUUCUAUCACAUACCUUGUACCAAGUAAGUGGUUGAUUAAGAGAGGUGUUAGCUUUACUCCAUUCAACCAUGUGUAUAUUUUCUUCUCUAUAUAUCUGCAAUUUUUCUCCAAAUAGUCCAACCUGUAAAGAUUUCAUCAAAUACAACAAUAAAUUUAUUUUUAUUUUAUUUUAUAAAAAAGCAACAUUUAAUCAUAUUUACUAUAUAAUAAAAUAAAAAAAAUUAAGCUUAAAAAUGAUGUACAAGCUUUGUAGUCUUUGAAGAUUUACCUGAUAUCCCCAAGCAUAAUUAGUAAAGUUGUAAAACUCAUUCUUGCUACAUUGAAUUUCAACUCUGGUUAAGCCACUAAAUCUUCUUUCAAGAAAAGCUCCUGAAUCCUUUACAAUAAAUAAUAUAUCUUUUUGAGUCAACAUUUACGUAGAGAAAAUUAAUUCAUAAUGAAGAACUAUAAUUUGAGCAAUACCGGUAGUCCAACCAUAACGCCUAGCAGAGAAAUAUUGUUAAUUUCAUUGCUCAACACAACUGGACUCUGCAUGAUGAACUGCUUGGUAUCGUGACUACCAUGGGCAUUUCCUGAUUUAAUUAAAACACUAAAUUAUAUAAAUAAUAAUUUAAAAUAGUUUAAUUGAGAUGCUUUCAAAUUUCUUUUCUAUUUAAUUAUUUCUUUUCAAGCCAUCUCCUAGAAUUCCAUAAGCCUCAAUUUUACAUUAUAUACAUAGAAAUUCUCCUAUGCAGACGUCCGGAUGUUAUUACCGUUAUCAUGUCGUGUUUUGGGUUUAGGAACUGAAAAUAGAAAAUUAUCGAAUUAUUAAUACAUGUUAUUUUGUUACCUAUAUAGAUGUUGUUCGCAAAAGCAUGAGUUGCAUGUCCUUUAGACUCAGCAACAAGUAUUGGUUCAGCGCAAGAAAUGUUGUGUUGAAACCUGUUACACAUAUUAGUUUGUUAUAUAAAGGAUAAGAUUGGAAAGAUUAAUUUUGCAAAGAAAUGAAUGUACCUGAGAGUAUACCACAGAUAAUCAGAUACAUCUUUGGUCACAUUCGUGUGCUCAAGUAAUGUAUCUGAAUGUAGUGAAGUAUUUUCAUAGUUUGGAAUCACAUCUGUGUACCCUUGCCAUCUAUCCAUCGAAUCGAAGAUUUCGGUUGUUCGUAUGAUUCUUUUCGUGUAAUUUGUAUUUACCUAUGUAUAACAAGAAAUACAUGACAACACUUAAUCUACCAUUAGUAAAAAAGAAACUACUGAAGAAAAAUUGACAAUACAAAGACUUGGGAGAAAAGUUAUAUGUAUGCCUAACCCAAAAUUACCGUUGUGGCCUAAUAAAAAAAUUGUUUGUCGCCAAGCGAAAUUCUAUAGUGAAGAUGCCAUAUACGGACCUUUUAUGUGAACCUACCUAUUAGUCACAGGAUUAUUUCAUUAAACUUAAGUGAAGUUACUAUUUAGAUAAAUCAUGUGGCUAAUAUGAAUGUCCAUAUAUGACACCCUCACCAUGGUCAAAACCGGAAAUCCAAAUAAUCUUUCCGUAUUUGACCCAAAAAAAAAAAAAAGUAUCCUUUCCUUAAAGUGAAAACGAAAAAGUAUAUUUUGUUUUGACAAAAAUGGCCCAAAUUCAUAUAUUUAAUCCUUUUUUCCUUAUUACUAAGUGCAUAAAUUCAAGACCUCGAAUGCAUGAGUAGAUGGAAAAAGAAAAGCAGGGCGAAAUUCAGAUAACUUACCGUUGCCGUGUUGAAAAUUACUUUUUCACAGUCUGGUAGAAUGCUAAUUGACUUUGGCAUCAGCUCAUGCGAUGCAUUUUGGAACUGAACAGUAGCAUUGUUUCUUUCAUCAUUAUUUAUAAGAAAUGCAACACAUCUUCCUUCAGUUUCUUCGCGAAAGACAUAGGCCUGAUUAGAAAUGACAAAUAAUGUAAUUAUUAUGUACGUACAUUUCAUUAUUGACUGAGAAUACACUACAAGAAAUAUUAUAAUCACUAAUAUUUAUGGCAUAUAAUGACGUGGCUUCGGUUGCAUCCUUUGUGUUCAUUGUUAGUAUUCAGUGAGAAACCUAGUCUAGUUGGGUAGUAUUUGGUGAACUCCUGUCAAUUUCUAAUCGAAAUUUAGUCUACGGCUCCCUUUCGUUGAUUUCAACUCUUUGUCUAUCAAGGCACUAUUAUUGUCUAAUAACAUAAUGGGCACGAAUCAUCGUGACUGUGGCUAUUAGGCACCGACAAUAUACUUUUAGUCACCUCAUCAUAAUGUCAGUGACUAUUACUAAAAUUUCCCCGUAGUAAUAAUUGGUGUUUAACUAAUGAAUUAGGUUAAUUAUAUUAAACAUGGAAGGCUAUAUGAUCACCUCUUGAAGUUGACCUAGUGAAAAAUUUGUUGGCAUUCCCUGUAGUAAAGUUGUAGAGCAACUUUUGAUUGCAGCAUGCAAUGCCUUAAGAUGACCCCACUUGGGCUGCCGCAGCAAACCUAAAUAAUUUCCAAAAAGCAGUUAUAAGUGUUUAAUUAGUUGGUUGAUUAAUGCAUAAAAUCAAGGAUUAAUGAACCAAUUAUAAUUCAUAUAUGCAAAUUUAAAAUAAUGAACUGACCGUAUUCGUCGAGAGGAGCUUGAUCAUAAUAACUUGUUAUGACAUAUGCAGAGCUUGUUCUUCCAAAAUUAGUUCCACCGUGGUACUAGAGAGAUCAAUUAUAAAUUACAAUACACCACAUGAUUGUUAAAUAUAUAUAUAUAUAUAUAUAGUAAGAGAGAGCUUUCAUUGAGAGAUUCCUCAAAUAAGUUUAUAUAAAAGACACUUUUGUAGGACCAAUUCUGCAUUGUAUUUCACAAAUCCAAACCGUCUAUUUUGUAUAUAUUCAUUUAAAGAUCAUCUCUACAAAAAAAUCACCUGAAUUCGAUAUUAUUUAACCACUCAAUUAAUUUAUUGAAAUUUUAGUACUUUUUUGAAGUAUCGUGUUGAUUGAUUUUAUAGGACACAAUUAUAUGUCUAAAAUAAUUUCCGAUUUGCGUAAUUUUUUGCAAGAAAUUUACUGUUUUUCUCCCAAAACUAAAAAGGUAAUUGAUAAAGCUAGAGUGAUACCAUGUAAUAGUUUACGUAGCUUCCAUUUCUAGCUAUAAAAAGCGCAACAUGAAAUGCAAUGUCUUCGGCAGAUCUUAUAUAUGGUUCUCCACCGUACACUUGAUAGCUGAAAACAGAACAUGAUCGUUAUACUCUAAUUAUUUUUUUUUAAAGAAACAUUCAUAAAUGAAAGAACGAAUUAAUAACUAAAUAAAAUAAAAUUAGUUAGGUGUCUCAUUUAAUUAUGAUAUAUACGUAAAUACAAAACUUAUGUCUAAGAAAAUUAAUGUAUAUAAUCAAAUUGUUGACAUGAGUUAUCCAUUUAAUGACAUUUACUUCCUAAGUUAAUUAGGUGAUUUAUUUCCUUUUUAGCAUAGUUGACAUAUACAUAUAUAAUUAGGAGAUAUUUCCUAUUUAUUCUAUGUAUCUAUUUCCUUGUAAAGUACACAUAUAAAGCCCUAUAUAUUACUCCUUAAAUAGAAGAAUACAAUCAUCCAAAUAUUCAAACCAUAUUCUUAUUCUUAGCAUGGUAUUAGAUCGGCCGAUCUUAGGUCGUCUCUAAGCCCUCAAAUCAUAUCCUCAAAUCCAAACACAAACUCUAAAUCAAAUUCCUAAACACUCAAAUCAAAUCCUCUUAUCAAAUCUUUGAACACAAACCCCUAUCAAAUCUCAUACAGUUCCAUUGUGAUGUCAGAGGAACCUCUCUCGCUCACAAAAGGCUCUUCCAGUUCCAACCCUCAAAUUGUCACAAUUCAGAGUGACAACUCCCCUCUCCCUACUAGAAUCAUCCCCAAUGAGACCAACUAUGCAUUGUGGUCUCAAGUUAUGGAGAUGCGAAUUGCUUCUAGAGAAAUCAGGGAUGCAGUUAAAAAGACCUUUAAUGAUGGGGGUGAUGAAUCUUACCUUUAUGAUCUAAACAAACGGUCGUUUACUAUGAAGCAAAAUGGUCCACCCGUUCAUACAUACUACAACCAGUUACGAAUUAUUUUUCAGGAGAUAGAUCAUCGGAGUCCAAUCAGUAUGCAAUGUGCAGCCGAUUUGACUACCCGCCAAUUAGAGGUAGAUCGUCUCCGCGUUCAUAUUUUUCUUGCAGGACUAGACCUAGAGUUUGAUCAGGUUCAUGGGGAAAUACUGUGCAAAGAUCCAAAAUUGGACCUUGAAAAUACAUUUGCCGACGUCCGUAGAGAUGCUCAACAAAGAAUCUCCAUGAAUGGUGCCAAUGAUCCUAAAGACACAUCAGUCAUGGCUGCUCACCGUCAAAAGGGAGCACAUAAUUCUCCCAGUAUCUCUGCUCAAAAUAAGGCAUUGGGAACUCGUCCAAAAAAGAAGUGCACACAAUGUGGAGGUAGCAAACAUACUCGUGUUGGCUGCUAUGAGUUGGGUAUCCUGAUUGGUGGGACCAUUCCAAAGCUCCACGGAGGAAUGAAGGAAAAGCAUUACAAGUGUCUUCAGAUUAUGUCCCUGAAAGUCCUACUAUUCCGGCUACACCGGCACUUGCAUUUGCCUCUAUAUCCACAACAGGUACCAAAGGUUAUGCUUUAAAUAUCUCAUCUCACAAAAACACACGGAUCAUUGACUCGGGAGCAACUGAUCAUAUAACAUUUGAUCCUAGACAAAUUAUUACUCACACAAUGUCUUCCUAGUUGAUGGUGUCUAAUGCUAAUGGUAUCCCUCCCCUAUGAUUGAGGAGGGUUCUCCAUCUCUCUUUGACUCCCUAAAUUUGGAUUAUGUGUUGAUUGUUUCAUCUUUGAACCAUAAUUUGUUGUCUAUUGCACAAAUUACUUCGGCUUUGGAAUGUAUUGUAACUUUUUGGCCAACUCAUUGUUUGUUCAGGACAUCCUCACCAGCAAGACGAUUAGUUGUAGUACUAGGAGGGGCAAACUCUACUACUUGGACUUGACUCCAGACAGUCAAACUUUCUAGAUGGGUGGAGACAAUGGUGAGAAAAAGAAAGAUGAAGUGUGGCUAUGGCAUAGACUUUUUGGACAUACAUCAUUUGGUUAUUUACAAAAGUUAUUUCUAUAAUUAUUCUCAAGAUUUGAUAUUUCAAGUUUUUAAGUGUAACAUUUGUGAACUAGCCAAGAGCCAUCGUGUUUCAUUUUUCUUAAGUUCAAAUAAAAGUUAAGUUCCUUUGUCCCUUAUUCACUUGAAUGUUAGGGGACCUGCUAAAAUUGUCACUCUGGCUAGGGCUCGAUGUAAGCUUCAAUACCAUCAUUAUCUUAUUAUCUCUAGCAUCAAAUCUAGAUUGGCCAUUACAUUAGUUUGAUGUUAAAAAGGCCUUCUUACAUGGAGAAUUGGAAGAUGAGGUAGACAUGGAUCUACUGCCAUAAUGUAAUCUAGCUCAAGAAAAGAAAGGAUCAAGUUUGCAAACUCAUAAAGUCAUUAUACGAGUUGAAAUAGUCUCCUAGAGCGUGGUUUGGAUGGUUUACUAAGUCCAUGAAGAAUUUUGGAUACACUCAAAGAAAUUCAGACCACAUUCUAUUCUUAAAGCAUGAUGAAGACAAAGUCACCGCCUUAAUUGUUUAUAUAGAUGACAUGGUUGUGACUGAAACUGACACAAAAGAGAGACAAAAGCUACAACAAUACUUAUCUCAGGAGUUUGAGAUAAAGGAUCUAGGUAGGGCUUGUCAAUGGCUGGGCUGGGCUAGCCCGGCCCAAAUUUAAUGAGCUUGGGCCGGGCCGAGCCAGGCUUUAAAGAGGAGAGAGAAAAUACUGGGCCGGGUCGGGCUGGAUUUUUUUAGAAAAUUCAAAGCCCAAGCCUGACUCAUGGGCUGGGCUUGAGAAAGCCCAUCGGGCCGAGCCGGGCUAAGCCCAACCGGCCGGGCCGAAACGGGCCUAUUUCAUUUCAAAAAAAAUUAUAAACUUAAUCAUAAAGGCAUUUUAGUCCAAAUUUGAGAUUAAACCCCCUUAAUUCCAAUAUUUUCACCUCAAACCAAAUUCAUAAAACACCCAAUAAAGUCACACAACUUAAUAAGAUUUUUCACAAAAAUAAUAAAACCAAGUUUUCUUUUUGAGGUUAUUACAUAAUUAGACCGUAAUACGUUUUAAGAAAUAAUUUUAAAAAAUAAUAAGUAUCAAAAAAAUAUUUUUUUUAAAGAAUGGUAUGAAUAAAUAUGCAAAUGUUUGGUGAUGUGUUCAAGAAAAGCAUGAUUAUAUUUGGUGGUACGAUUAUGUUUCAUGAUAUGAUAUGUUGUUCAUCUUAUUUACAUAUAUAUAAUUGUUGUAUUAAUAAUUGACAUGAAUUAAUGCGCUAAUCAUCCAAUUAUAAACUAGGAAUGAGUAAAGAAAAGUAAAUGAAAUGAAACAAAUUAUAUAUGUGAUUUAAGUGAUAUAAUUCUAAUCCUAAACUCUUAUUUAUACAUAAUUAUAUAUGUAUGCGGGUUUAAUGGGCCGUGCUUUUGUGAGCGAGCCGGGCAGGGCUUUCUUGGGCUUAACCGGGCCGGGCCUAUGGGCCAAGCCGGGCUUCAGACACCCAAGCCCAAGCCUAGCCCAGCUCAAGGUGGGUCGGGCCGGGCUGGGCUUUUUUUCGAUGGGCUGGACUUUUUUUCGAUGGGCCGGGCGGGCCCCCACUGGCUCAUGAGCCCGCAUGCCAAAUGAUGAAUCAAAGGAAGUAUGUGAUGGAUUUACUGAUUGAAACAAAAUGCUCAUAUGUAAGCUUUGGCUGACACAUCUAUUGACGUAAAUCAUGAGUUGGUGUCCAUAGCAUUAUUUUUUCGAAGAAAAAAAACCCCCUGCAUUUAAAGUGACUUCGGGAGUAAAAAUGGGAUUUUUUUUUUAUUUUUUUUAUUAUUUUAAAGUAUGUGGAAUCCCCUUAUCCUAAAUUAUUAAAUUUUCAUGUGAAUUUCUCUUUUUUUUUAAACAUAUAUAUUAUAUGAUUUUUGCAAAUGAGGUAUAGUCUAGUGGAAAAGGGCAUUGACUUGCAGACCAGUAGUCUCAAGUUCAAACUCUCAUGACACCUUGGUAGUGUGUGUGUGUGUGAGAGAGAGAGAGAGAGAGAGAGAAAUCUCCCUCCCCUUUCUAGUUUAGACUAUUACUUAUAUUCGGAUAUAGUAAAAAAAAUUUAAGUGAGAGUUUACCAACUAAUUAUCUACCUUAGCUUAAUACCACUAAAUACUAAUUGAGUUAGACCUUGAGGGGACGCAUUAAUUACAUGUGUAUUUGAUUAAUAUAUAUUAUCUAAAUACAAUUAAUAUUCUAUGAAAAUUAAUAUAGAUCUAGAUAUACGUGGAUGCAUAUAUAAACAAGAAAACAUACAAUGAGGUCCAAUUCUCUGUCCAAAGAGAGGGCUUAUUGGGUGAGUUUGGUCCUCCAAAAGUUUGCCCACACCGCAUACCGUUGCAUGUAUUGAUCUGCAUGUCAUGUUUAUUAAUUUAAAUAAUAUAUAUUUUAAUUAAUUUAAUUUAGAGCUGAGGAUAUAUAUGUAGUGAGAAAAUUAAAAAGACCAACAACUAUUUACCACCACAAAAAAAAAAAAAAAAAAAAACCAACCACUGGAUCAGGAGCAUCGGUUUGCUUGCACAUGACCCAUGGUACACCAGUUUGGAGCUCAACGGCCAUUUUUGCUGCCCAACGAACGUAGGCGGGUCCUUUCUCAUGGAAUGCUGCUUCUAUGUUUUGAUAUUCGUUCUCAAUCUAAAUAUGUUAUAGAUUAAAUUCCAUUAAUUAUAGAUUAAAUUGAAAAGUACUUUUAAUUAAUCAUUAUAUAUGUACCUGCGAUAAUAUGAUUGGGCCUCCUUGUGAUGCAUAUAAACCCUCUGACUUCAUCAUGUUCACUAUUUUUGUAGUAAAAUUUUGCAUAUAAAACUACAAAAGAAGAAAGAACACAAUAGACAAGACAUCAUAAACAGAGGAAAUAACGAGUUAAUCAUUUUUUUUUUCUUUUAUACAUGUUUACUUAUUAGGAAUGAAGGGUACAAACUUUGAAUGGUUCAUUAUCUGAGCGAUAAACUAUGUCAGGAACAUCAUGCAGCCAAAACGGAAAUCCCCUGAAAAUAUAAAUUAAAGAGUCAAUUACCAACCUCGAAAUUAAUCCCCCCCUUUUAUCAUAAACAAAAAUAAAAACAAAAUGAUAUACAAAAGAAUAUCAGGAUGGCCUUGGGUUUGGGCCCUUAGGGCAAUGCCCUAGGGCCUCGGAUAAAUAGGGCCCCAAAAUUUUUAAUAUCCAUAUUAUAUAUACAAAGAGUUUCAGUUGAGGGAUCUCUCAAAUAAGUUUAUUUGAAUGACACUUUUGUAGGACCCACUAUGCAUUGUUUUUCAAUGAUCCGAAAAAUCUAAAGUUUAGAGAUUCAUUCAAAGAUAACCUCUACAAAAAAGUCACUUGAAUCCAAUAUCAUUUGACCACUCAAUUAAAUUAUUGAAAUUUAAGUACUUUCUUAAAGUACCGUAUUCAUUAAUUUUGUUGGUCUCAAUUAGAUGCCUUUGUGAUUUUCAAUUUGCAUGAUUUUUUGCAAAAAUGAUCUCUGAAUGAAGAUGUGAAAGAAAAUACAUACAUGUGCAUAAAUAAAAAAAAUUCUUUCUUGCUAAAUUAUAAUUAUAUACAAAGGAAAAUGAGCUUCAUUUUAAUUUAUGCCCUAAAGAAUAUAUGAAAUGAGAAAAAUUAAACAUACCCAUAUGUCCAUUCACUCUCAAUGAAUGGUCCGAUCCUAAGGCAAGCAUAAAGUCCUUGUGCCUGGAUUUCCUUCAUGAAUUUUACUAAAUCAUAUCUUCCACUGAAAUUGUACUGUAAAUAACACAUACGUACAAAACAAUAUUCACUAUAUCAGCCAAUGAGAGAGAGUGAACUAGAGAGAGAGGGAUGGAAUGUUAAAUUACCAACCUGACCCGGUUGGGGCUCAUGAAGAUUCCAAAAUACAUAGGUUUGAAUCACAUCAAGUCCUCCUUCCUUGGCUUUCCCAAUUAAAGAUCCCCACAUCUACACCAAGUCUUUAAUUUCACAAACAAUAUACAUAUACGUAUAUAUAUACGAACAGAACGGUGUAUAAAAUAUGUUACAUGAAAGUUUUAUUUCUAACUAGUGAAAAAUAUAUAUAUUAUACAAUUUUUCUUGGGUUUUUACUUGCUCUUUUUGUUUUUAUAUCCAGCCCACGACAAUUAAUUUGUUUGAAUCCACUCCACCCCACAAUCAUUGUAGCUUAUUUAUCUGUAUAUAUGCAGGGUUCACAUUCAUUACAGUUCUCGAAUCUUGCAUCAAACAAAAUGGACACAUAAGAUAUGUCCAAAAGAUACGAAGAAAAUGUGAUAUGUCCAAAAGGUACGAAGAAAAUGUGAACCAAGCUUCUAGCCGUGACAUAUAUAAUCAUAAUGAAGAGGGAUUCACUAUUAUGUCCAAUAUAGGGAUUUAAAUUAUAAAGAAAAAAACUUACAUGAAAUGUACUUUAUAAAUACACCCAAAGACCAUUUACAAUAUAACAAAGAGGCUUUAAACUUCCUAUAAAAUACAAAAUUGCCAUCGAUUUCUUAAAAUGAGCCCAAUCCCAAAACCUCAUUAAAAAAACUCAAAACACUCAACAUGGCAUCAAAGUAAUUUAAUAAUCAAAAUUAAAUUCAAUAAAGUCAGCUGUCUUUUUUCAGGUUUGUUUAUAGGAAUUAAAUGGUGUUGGAUUUAUCUAUAUCACAAGUGCUAAGAAUGAGUAUAUAACUAAAUAUCUAAUAAAGGAACAUGAUAAACCACCAAAUAUAUGAAAAUGAAUGUUAAUUGCAAUGGAAAACAGAAUAAAUUAAUAUUUAGUAAUUAUUUAUGCAAACAUCUAAGGCCUCGGGAGGUGUAUGGACUCUUCACCACUUAAACUACAAACACCUUGUUUAAUAUUUAGUGUUUUUUGAAAAUUGCACUUGAGCUAGAAAUAUUCAUGAACUAUAAUUGUGUAGUGACUUUUGAAUAUUGCAUUACGAACAAGUAAAUGUGUAGUGAUAUAAUUACCUCAGGUGUACUCCGAGGAUAGUGAAUAGAACCUGAAAAUAGAAUUCUUCUUUCCCCUUUAAUGAUGAGAGAUCUUCCAUCAUACGUGACAUCUCCUCCACAAACACAACCUUCUUGUGUUAUAACUACCGCCACCGCCGCCAUAACAAAUAAACGCAGCCACGGCCUCCACGACUGCCGCCACUCCAUCUCUCUCUUUGUCUUUCUCACGAUCACCAAUUAGUGUAGACUGAAAUUUUGUAUAUGAUCACCAAAAGAAGGUUUAUGCUUUAACUACUACGUCUUUUGGGGGAAGAAGAUGAAGAUGAGAAUAUAUAACGGAUGACAAUGUGCAUAUAGAAUGGAUGAGUUGGGUUAAUUAAAGCAUACAUACAUGGCACGUGACACCUUAGGGUUUUUAGACCCAUACCAUAACAAGAUACCUAGGGGCAACUUGGUAAUUGAAGUCCAUCUAUCUACCACAUUGCAAAUGAGAUGAUGAUAGGUCACAUGCACCUUCUGUAUGUUCAGUUGUUUACGUCAUAGCUUAGCGUGGCUGGGAUGGCAAGGCAAGACAAAAAGAGCCCAACCACCGCACCACGCCAACACACUACUGUGUAUGUGUGAGAAGUAAAGAAUCACCGCUUCCACGAAACCUGGGCAGCUGUUGCUUGCUUUGCUUGUAUAAUUAAUUUUUCUUCUGUUUGUUUGGGCCUCUUUUGCACCAAACCACGAAGACAUCGCAAUGCAAUUUGGUGAUGAAAAGCCCAAACCAAAUAACCCAGCCAUUUCCACCCAACCUUGUUCAUCGAUUCAAUUGCAAAUAUAUGAAUGUUAUCAAUGACUUCAGGAAAGAAUACAACUUUACCGAGUCUUUUAACACACCGAUGUGGUGUGAAUUAAAGCGCCUCUAAUGUUUAAGUUAGAUUUAGAAUAGGCUUAUUAUCACAAACAUUUUUAAGGUUUACGAAACUAUCAAAUUGCAUCCGUAAUGUUUUUUGGUGUCAUACGUGGUCUUUAAAGUUCGUAUGUGUGACCACAAAUGGUCUCUGUCGUUAGGUUCUGCCAAAAACUCCGUUAGUUUGCUGACAUGAUAUAUAUAUAUCACAAAACAUCCCUAAGGUUCACCCACCUAUCACAAAUGGUCCUUACGAAAUUUUUUAAUUUUUUAUAUUUAAAAUUCAUAAAAUUUUGGUUUUAUUUUUAAAAUUUUAUGAAUUUUAAAUUAUUUAAAAAUACAUAUUAUAUUUUAAAUACAUGUGACACUAUAUUAUUAUAGAUGUGGGCUCCAUAUAUAUGCCACAUCAACAAACUAAUGGAGUUUUUAAAAAAUAAUUUAAAAUUCAUAAAAUUAAAAAAUUAAAAAACUAAGGGUUUAGGGUUCAUAAAUGGUCCUCAAGAUUAAAAUCCUUCUAUAAAUGAUUUUUCAUUUAUAAAUAAUUUUAAAAAGAAAAUUAAAAUUUUAUGAAUUUUAAAUGAAAAAACUAAAAAAAUUCAUAGGGACCAUUUGUGAUAAGUGUGUGAACCUCAGGGAUGUUUUGUGAUAAAUAUGUCACGUCAGCAAACUAACGGAGUUUUUGACGAAACCUAAUGGCAAGGACCAUUUGUGAUCGCACAUACUAACCUUAAGGACCACGAGUGACACAAAAAAAUAUUAAGGAUGCAAUCUGAUAGUUUCAUAAACCUUAGAGACGUUUUGUGAUAAGGUUCUUGAUUCUAGGAACAGUUACCUUCUCCAGUUGAUGGAGGUUGGCUUUUAUAUAGUCUUUAGGUGACUGAUUUCUCGUCGUUCACAACUAUAUGAUGUAAGCUUAUUGGACUUGGGACGUAGGGGUAAGUAAGGGGUUUAAUGCACGGGAGCAUAGGUUGGGUUGUGUCGGUUUUUAUCCCAACUUGAUAUAUAGCAAUUUAUGAUUUAUUAUACCAAAAACUCGCUCAUUAUUAGGCAAAUUCAACUCUUUUGUGAUUGGGUUGGGCGGUUCGGUCAGAUUAACUCAAAAUUAAACCCACAUAACGGUUUAUAAUUUUUUAAACCCAAUACCCAUUCAUUAUUAGGUCAAUUCAACCCAACUUCUAAUAAUCGAGUUAGACAAUUCGGUCUAAUCCAAUUUACCCGAAAUUGUGUCGACCCCUAAUAUAUUUGCACCACCAAUCACGUAAUGGUUAUAAUAUCUUGUGAUUGACUUGGCGCCACUAAUUCGAGGAUUGACCAUGUUGGGUUUGCCCUUAUACAACUAUGCUUGGGCUUUAGAGGUAUUGGGCCGAAACGUGGCCCAAUUUCCAGACCGAUUUGAUAGAGAAGACUUUCUCUGUCACCUCUGCCAGUUAUUGAAACGGUGUGCAUUUAAUUAGAUGCGGAUCUAUUUCCCUCGUGUGGUUGACGAUAAUUUCAUCCAAUUAUCACUGAUUGUGUCCAUAUGAGUUCUUGUAUGUCAUCAGUGCUUAUGAAAAGUGGCUUGACCAUAGCCCAACAACAACUGUAAAAGUAUAGGACCUGAAGCUGUAACUGGAUUCAAGUCCAACCACUGCCCACCAAUAAACUGCCCCAGAUAUAUAUAUAUAUAUAUUCUUUAAUAUGUAAUAAUAAUUUGGUUUUGGGAGGGGAAGGGGUUGGGAGUGGGAAAGGACCAGAAAGCGGGAGAGGUACUAAUUAAUUGGUCAAUAUUGACAGCUAGUAUGAAAAAUACAGAAGCUUCCCAGCAAGUACCCAACUGAGAACGACUGGACUAGUACCCCAACAUGUUCAUUUCACUUGGACCUCUUUACUAUAAUCCCACCAUUUACUAGUGAGAGUGAUGUUUUCAAGCAACAUUCCUAAUCACCAGCUCCAAAAACCAAAACGGCGGCCAUUUUAAAUCAUUAAAGACAACAUGAGAUCUUCAUCAUUACAAUCCAUAAAUGGCAACUUGAGAUCUUGUGUUCGUAUGGUUUUGGAUAACAUGUGAAUAACCUUAUUUUGAUAUCAUAAAGAAGUUGAGAUUUCAUUUCAUAAUCAAUUAGCAAUCGAGAAUAAAUUCUCUCACAUCAUGAAACAAUAAAAUUGAAACUUAACGUAAACCCUCGUUAUGUUCGUAUUUAAUUUAUUAGAAAUAAAAAUGAGACUUAACGUGAAUUCAAAUUAAAUAAACCUUAGUAUGUUUACAUAAAAUUUAUGGACGGAGGAAGUUAGAUAUGGAUAUGCUGUUGACCAAGUUGUGGAGGAAAGUCGUAGCAAUUGGACAAGUUGAAAGAAAUUGAAGAAAAAGAGCACUAAUCUGAAUAUGAAUCGAUGAUGGUGGGUCCCUUUGUCCACAUAAAUCUUAAACAAAGCAAGCCAAGCAAGCUCCAAGUAGCUUCCUGCUUCCACAUGCAUUGUUUAUCCAUAAAUAUAUAUACGUCAGGCACCACGUCACGCAACACCUUUCUAUGUUGAGGUUCACAUGCAUCGCGCCACUUUUUUCGACAUUAUGAACCCGGACAAAGGUUCACUCCUUGCUCCCCAAGUUUCCCAGUCGACAUUUUAUUAUUAUUAUUAUUAUUUUGUCGUGUCCUUUUCACUUUUCAAUAUUCAUAUGGAAUAUUCUAUUCACAUGGCUGCCUCAAAUUUGUUUUACUCUCGCUCUCUGUCUUUAUUUUAAAGAUUUGUCUAAUAUUCUAUUCAUAUUAUACAAAAAUUCAUAUAGAGUCUAUUUAGACAGAAAAAUCUAAAAUUAGCAAUUUAUCAUUUUUUAAGUGGUUUUUAGAAAAUUUUAACACACUAAGAAACAAUUAGAAAAUAACAAGUGACUAAUUUUGUGUUUUUUUUUCUCUUAAAAUGAAUUCUAUAACGAUUUUUGUAUAAUAUGUCAUGUUAGAAUGAGUCUAUUUGUGAAAAGCUCUUAUCUUAAGCCAAAGUUCAUAAGAAGAAACGUUGCGACUUAUGCCAAAUCUUUUUUUAUUUUAAUCUUUUCAGGCAUGUGUGUCUCAUAAGUUUUCGCUUGUAAAGUGAAAUCUUUUAAAACUCUUUUAUUUAUUUUUUGAAGUUUACUUUUGUUUGUGGUAGAGCAUACAAAUAAAAUACCAAACGAGAGUUCCUUACUUUCUUUUAGACUGCAGAACAAAGAAAAAGAGCACUAGAGAAGAAACAGUACGGACUAUAGUUGAAAGACUUUUAAAAUUAGGAGUUGAGGAAAGACACAUGUGGAUGUGGUGUAGAAAAAAUAAGUAGGAACCCCGUCUAACAUCUUAAAAAUCAAACUUCAAUGGUCAUGGGCGUGAAAAGUUCUUAAAAAGUUGCGGCUGGAUUUUUUGUUUAUUUUUUAUUUUUUAUUUUUUAUUUUUAUACAAAUAAUAUUAUAUUUUAAUAUAAUGUAAACUACGGAGAUGAAGAUUCACUUUAUUAUUAGAGAUCAUAUUGCGAAUGUUAAUACUGAUGGAACUUACCCUGUUAGUCAUGCUUACGUCCUUCAAUUUGAAGUUGCAGCCCUUGAGCAUGGUAGCAUGGUUAAAGGGCAAUACGUUUAAAUUAUAAAAAAAAAAUUAAUUAUUGCAGGAUAUUCUACUACAGCUUUGAAUCAUAUUUUAACCUCUAGUUCUACUAAUAAUAUUCCUUGGCAUAUUUUGUCCACGUAAGAAAUAUCCGAAGGCUUCUUUUUUCAACUUGAGCAAUUUCAAUUUUAACAUGUUUAUAGAGAAGUAAAUAUAGACACAUACGGGUUAGCAAAUUCAAGGUAAUAAUCAUAUGUUUAUUUAUUAGGAAUGGAGGAAUUCAUGAAUCUGUGAACUUAGUAAAAAGAGAAUUAAAAAGGGGAUACCAUUUAUGAUUUUGAGGGUAUUUAAUUAUAGAUUUUAAUAUAGAAUCCACAUUAUUUUUAAUUCACUAUGUGUAAUAAAGAUAUAGGAAGUAUGAAAUUAGAAUAAUUCUAAUACUAAUAUUCUAGUAAAUACAAAAUAAGCGAGAAUCAAAAUCAUUUAAAUAUGCGUUCCUCAUAAGUAAAAAUACUAUUGUUAAUAUGAAUGGAAUAAUAUACUCUUACCAUAUUGAUUUAAUUGAUGUGACAUAUAAUAUGUACAUAUCACAUCAUGUAAUAUAAAAAUAUAAUAAGUAUAGCAUUAUUCGUAUUCACGUUGAGAUUUAUUUUGAUAUUGAAAAUGUUGGCAGUUCAUUCAUAAGUAUCUUCCCUGUAAUUUUGUUUCUUAUGGAAAAUAAAGAAAAGGAUUAUGUGAUGCGGCAGAACGCAAGUUCCAGAUAGAGAGAGAGAUGAUUUGUUUGGUGAGUCGUAGAAUUUUGGAUUAGUUAAUUGUGGAUCCAUCCAUGAUCCAGCAGCGCCAUGACGUUUUGUUCCAUACGUCAUGCGUGCGGGCUAAGGAAACUCCAAAUCCAUGCAGUUGAACGGUCGUCCUGCAGUUUCCCCUUGGACCAAAAAGUCUUCCACAUACCGAACGUGGCAAAUGGUGAUUCGCUGACCGCACAAAAUAAAAACUCCUCGCGGAACAGGAGAUCGAGGACGACCGUCAACGAUGCAGUAGAGGCAGGAUUUAAAAAAGCGGAGAGAGGAACGUCCAAAAUAGGUGACGAAAGCAAUGACACAAUUAGCAAGCUGAAAGUGGCCCAUGCGCACGUGGCACCUUCAGGUUAGACCGUCGACUGGCUGCGGUCAGCCCCUCCACCUCCUCUCUCUCACUCUCUCUCUGAACCCACGUGUCAAAAUUAAAAAAAAGAGAGAAAAAAAAGAAAAAGAAAAAGAAUAAUGUUGUGUCUUUAUUGAGCGUGCGGGCGGGUAUAUAAAAAGGCUUCGGAGUCUUGUAAAAACCCAUCGUUCCAAAUCCGAGAAGAAACUAGAAGCAGAGGAGCUUAAACCAGAAGAAGAAAUUCAAGGCGAUCUACAACUAGCAAGAUCAAGGGCAAGCAAGAGCAAGGGAGCUGUAAAAAGUAAACGCUAAAAAUGGGAAGUGGAAGUGAGUUGGAGUUACCGCCAGGGUUCAGAUUUCACCCAACGGACGAGGAGUUGGUGAAUUAUUACUUGUGCCGGAAAUGUGCUGGGCAGCCUCUCGCUGUUCCCAUCAUCAAAGAGAUUGAUCUUUACAAGUUUGAUCCUUGGCAGCUACCUGGUAUAAAUAAAUUCCCCCAUUUCCAAUUUUUUAUUUUUGGUCAAAUCCCCAUUUCCAAUUUCACCAUUUCUGAUUGAAUCACUGGAUUUCAUUGGGUUAAUUUAAUGGGUCACCUGGAUUUCAUCUCAAUUGGCCCCAACCCAACAAAAAAAAAAAAAAAAAAAUUUGUUUUAUGAACUCUGGAUUGGUUGAAAUUUUUUCUCUGAUUGGUUUGAUGUGAUUUCAAUUUGGGAACUUUGAAUUUCAAUUUUUUAAUUUUUUUUCUGCAAUUUUUGUCGUUGUUUUUGCAGAUAUGGCUCUUUAUGGAGAAAAAGAGUGGUAUUUCUUUUCGCCAAGGGAUAGAAAAUAUCCGAACGGUUCAAGGCCGAACCGGGCAGCAGGAACCGGGUACUGGAAGGCGACCGGGGCAGACAAGCACAUUGGAAAGCCCAAGGCACUUGGGAUUAAAAAGGCACUCGUGUUCUACGCUGGCAAAGCUCCUAAAGGAGUUAAAACCAAUUGGAUCAUGCACGAGUAUCGCCUUGCAAAUGUCGAUAGGUCGGCUUCCAAGAAAAACAACAACAACUUGAGGGUACCUAACUUUAUCCUUUUGCACGUUAUUGACUUUUACCUAAUUAUUCAAUGUCUUCAAAUUAAAAUGGUUCAUUUUAAUAAACGAUGCGAUAUUGUAAAAUACUCUAAUAUAUGAGGUCGGGGAUUAAAUUCGGUUACAAGGUUAUUACAUUAUCUUGGUCAACUGAUCUAACACACGUCUGCAAAUUUUAUUUUAUAUUGUGCUAAUUUGAUUUUAUGUAUUAUUGCAGCUUGAUGAUUGGGUGCUGUGCCGAAUAUACAACAAGAAAGGUAGCAUAGAGAAAUAUAACGUUGCCAUGGAGCGCAGUAAAAUGACCAAAUACCCAGAAAUAUUGCAUGAGCAAAAACCAGAAAUGACCCAAAUGCCACCACCCCAUACGGAUAUGUCGUCGAUGGAUUCAGCACCGAGGGUGCAGCAGACGACGGACUACUCUAGCUGCUCGGAGCACGUGCUGUCGCCAGAGGUCACGUGGGAGAAGGAGGUCCAAAGUGAGCUACAAUGGAGCGGUGAUGAAUUAGAGAAUUCCUUUAAUACCCUUGAUAAUCAGUUCAUCAAUUACAUGGAUGGCUUCUCAGAUAUUCUUGACUCUUUUGGCGCUGCUCAGCCUCAGUACCAAAUGGACCAGCAGAACAUGUUUGCCUACUUACAAACCCAAUUUUAAACCAAACUUGUUGGGUUAUGAAAGUGGCAGGACCAGAAAAAUUUGAGAAAAAAAAAAAAAAGAAUGGGCCGGACUUGUGCGGUGCUAUUGGAGAGGGCCCUUGACGUAGGUCCGUUAUUAUUUUAUUUAGUACCUAAUAUUCUUUUAAAGUUGGUUUAGAGACCAAAUGAAUUUAUGAUGUCAUAAAAGGACCUGUGGUUAAGGCUCUUGCUCAGUGAGAAAAGCAUCAAGCUGAUGGGCUCGGGUUAGAUUCUCCAUAAUAUGUUAAUACGUAAUGAUUACGGUAGAAAAUUGUUACAAUUUCCAGGAAUUAUGUAGCAGAAAUUUUUUUAAUUUUUCUUUUUAAGUAUGCAUGACGUGUAAUUAUAGUGCAUUUGAUUGAUGUUAAGAGAAACAAAUGUGUUUGAAGUUUUGUAGUGGGAAUUGAGCCCAUCUGAUCUUGAAAUAGGUUGUUUUGGGUUGGUGAAGCCCUUUCACUUGUAUAAAUAGAAUUCUUUAUCACUUGAGGGUAAAUUUUCACCCAUGGAUACCCAUGGGAUUGUCUGAAAUAUAUCAUCACUUGUAAAGACAGAGGUAAGCUUUAUUCUAUUUGGACGCUACUCCAAACUUUCAAUGGUUUACAUUAUAACUUUAAUUUUCACACAUUAAGUUCGAAGCCUGGAUAACUCAGCUUCGCAAAAAAGAAAAAAGAAAAAAGAAAAAAAGAAGGUAAUUUCAUAUUGACCUUACAUAUGUGGGACUUUUGCGCAUGAUUUACAUAGAUUUUCCCUUCAUAUAAUUUCUAUAGGAGAAAAUUUUAUUUAUUGGUUAAAACUCAAUCAAGGAAGACCCAAUGAGACAAAAUUGAACGAAGAAAUAGAGAUAUUACUUUUUUUAAUGCUGAGAUAAGUGCUCAAAGUUGUAACUCAACAAGGAAGAUCUUUGAGUUGUCACAUCCUAAUAACGUGCCCUAACUUCUUGAUUGUUGUGGUCAGUAGGGCAUUGGUAAUUAAGUCUGCAUGAUUGCCACACCAACAAAUAUGUUGGCCAUCUAUAUUGUUGUUCUUAUCAUGCUGAUGUGUAGGGAAAAAAACUUAUGGGUUUUUCUUCUCCUAAUUAACCAAAUGUGAAGGAAGUAUGUCGAAUAUAUCAAAAAAGGAGAAAGUGACAACUAGAGGUUGGGUGUACGAAUAGGAGAUGUAUAAGCACGGGUGGAAGAGAUUUUGGUUUUGUUCAUCUUUUCUCAACAAAAAUGAACUCACGUUAGUCACUAGUUAAAUUGAAAAUAGGUGUUAAAUAUUAUUGUGUGAGACACAAAGGAAACAAGAAACUUGAAAACAUGAUAUCCAAACUCGAAGGUGUGUAGCAUGUUAUAUUCCAACAAACUACAUAUCUAUACUGAAAAAAAAGAAAAAAAAGAAAAAAAAACUCUUUUUAUGAAAUUAAACAUCCUCCUUUUGUCGACCUUCUUAUUGCUCCUCCUCCUCUCCUUUAGGAAAUUGGUAGACUUCGAAAAAUUUCGAAACAGGUAUUUCCGCCCAAAAUGGGGACCUUUGUACUUG
Molecule: long non-coding RNA, 53799 nt
Filed under: Prunus persica (peach)
Lineage: Eukaryota; Viridiplantae; Streptophyta; Magnoliopsida; Rosales; Rosaceae
Description: long non-coding RNA (PPER_LNC004880)
Source: RNAcentral